Molecule: long non-coding RNA, 68316 nt
Filed under: Gossypium raimondii (Peruvian cotton)
Lineage: Eukaryota; Viridiplantae; Streptophyta; Magnoliopsida; Malvales; Malvaceae
Description: long non-coding RNA (GRAI_LNC005877)
Rfam family: MIR7504 microRNA precursor family (bases 24488-24613)
Source: RNAcentral
UGUUUUCCCUCCCAGAGUUGUUCAAGAUGGCUCUUCCUCAUAUCAAGUUCAACUAGGUACCCUAGAUCAAACUUGGUGGGCAAAGAUCUCAAAGGGUAUCCCUCCCAGUAAAGGUACCUUAGCUCCUCAGGAAGUGAUAAAAGCCCAUUAAAAAGUAAGAUUCUUCCAUAAGAAUGAUAGAAUUUGAGAAAUCUUAGCUUUCGCAUCUUCAUCAUGGCUGUCGGUUCCAAUUCCAACUUUGCAAGUUGGGACAUAUCAAGUUCAAUGCCUCUGAGCAUUUCCGUUCCCUAAACCCAGGAGCAGUAUAUGGAGUCAAGAUAUAGGCAAAACAUGAACUCAAGAUAAUUAUCAUAUACAUAUAUGUAUUUUAUACAAAUAAGUGAAGGAAAUGAACAGGGCCCUUACAUUGUUUUCUGAUAGCACAUUAUAGCUGUCCUCAGGAAUCCACAACCUACUGCGUUUUUCAAGUUUUAAAGGUGAUUCAUCGCGUACAAUAUUCAAACCCAUCUGUUGCAAUAAAUCAUGCAUUGCUAUCUGAUUUUGUGAAACAGAUAUAAGAGAUUUAUCAAUGAGAUUCUCAAUUCCCGAAUGUGCAGAGUCAUAACAAGCAUCCAUAAUCCUUGUUACGUAGUCUCGAUGCUUCCCUUUAAAGAAACAAGCAAUGUCAAGAAACAUUUCUUUCUCUUCACAAUCUAGUCCAUCAAAACUCCAUUUCAACACUUCUUGAAUGUCCUGCUUAGGAACUUUAUUUAAUUUCUUUACUUCACUUUCCUGGUAGCUUUUGGUCUUGCCGUAAAGAGAGGAUCCGAUAAGUCUAAUAGCUAAAGGGUUUCCCUUAGCAACACUUAAAGCCAUCUUUGAUAGCUUCAACUGAUAUUCUGUAGGAUUAGUACUUUUGAAAGCACAUUGACAGAAGAGCUGAACAGAUUCAUCUUUAUCUAACUCCUUCAUAUCAUAAAUGAGAUCAAUGCCACACUGGACAAGCACUUGUUUAUUUCUAGUGGUAACAAUGACUCGACUUCCAGGACCGAUCCGAUCGAUUCCUCCGAAUAAAAACUCGAUUUGGCUUAACUUUGACACAUCAUCACAAACUAUCAGAACCUUCUUCUUGGAAAGCCUGUCCUUAAGAAAGCCUGAUCCGAUUGUGGGAGUUGAGAUGUAUAAAUUUUCAUCUUCUAAUAUAGUUGAAAGAAAUUCGUUACGCAAUUUUAGUAAUUCUCUUUGUUCUUCAUGUUCUCUCACGUUUGCAAGAAAGCAGCAUCUUUGGAAACCAUUUGAAACAUGGUGAUAAAUGGCGUCGGCAAGUGUAGUUUUGCCUAUACCUCCCAUACCCCAAAUGCCUAGCAUUCGAAAAUCUGGGAAUCCGUCUUGAAAUAAUGACAAAACUUCCUGCAUCCGCCUUUCAAUUCCAACUAAACCCUUUAAAUUAGCGCUUGAGCUUCCACAAUUCAAUUUCUUCACUACAUCUUCGACAAUUUUAUCUACCAGAGUUGAGUCAGGCCUAUAUAUUAAAAGAAGAAACAAAUUACAGGAGAAAUAAAAAGGAAAGAGAAGUAAAUAAAUAAAAAUGAUAAAGUGAAUCCAAGUUGAACUCAAUUGAUUCAUGGGGUCACUUUUAAAAAGAAGACAUUCAAAACAGAUGUAGAAUUCAAAUUUCACUAUCUACAUCCCUGUUUAAAUCCUCAAAUUAUAACUUUUUUCUUUGAAAAUAAAUAUAUCAAUAGAUUUUAUACAUGAAAGAAUGGUAUGAAGGUGUCAUGAACUUUGAGUUAAAGAAAGGCAGGAUAGAAAACGCAACAAACAAUAACAUUGUUCAAGAACAGAUUCUUCUUAUUUCUUCCCUAUGCCUGCAAAAUUAUGGCCCUUCAAUAUAUGACAAAAAAAAAAAAAGGGAAAAGUUAAGUCUUUCAUAUCAAGUAUCUGCCCCUCAACUCGAAUCUGGGUAGCAUAAAUGAAUCCCUGCUUGAAACAAAAGUCUGUUUAAUCUCUCCUCUUCCAAAUCAAUACAUGCAUAUAUUUAAAAGAGGAUUGAAUGUAAAGAAAAGGAGUUGCAAUUACCGAGUGACUUGUGAAUCCCAACCGGAUAAUUUGCCAGCUGCAGUCAAAGCACUUCUCCAGGUUUUCACCUUUCCUGACUCAUGCUUGAAAUUUUCUUCAUGCUUUGCAAAUGCAUCUGCAAAACUCCCUGUUUGGUUCCGUAGGUCUCUUGGGUCUACACCGUAAAAUACAGGAACAACCCAUUUGUUGCAGUCCAUGAUCUUGACCAGCUCAGCCAAGCACCAUUUGGAAGAAGCGUAGUCUUUGGAGAAAACAAUGACUGAAACCCUGGAUGCUUGAAUGGCCUUCAACAGUGCCCCUGAAAUUUCAUCUCCUUUUCGAAGCUCCUCAUCGUCUAUAAAAGUUUCGAUAUUCUUUCGACACAAAUCUUUAUACAGAUGACUCACGAAACCAUCACGAGUAUCCUUGCCUCUGAAGCUAAGGAAAACAUCGAAUGUCCUUGCCUUGAUCGUAUCAGCAGCAGCAGAAGAUUGAGAGGAAAACAUAUUUGGGUUGAGCCAGAUUUGAUGAAAGAUUAUUGGAAUAUGAGUAAAUGAACAGUUUUUAAUGUCAAUUACGCUGAUAUCUUUCUUAGAAAUUAAUCAUAUUUCUUUAGUUUGGCGUGAGGAACAUGGACAUUAAAAAAAAGAAAAAAGAAGGAAUCUUUAAGACCGCCGAAAGUUUUGUCGGCAGCAUAAAAGAGUAGUGACUAGUUGAAGAUAGUACCAUAUUUGAUUAAACAAUUUUAAAAUUAUAUAUUAAAUACGUUUUAGUGUGUCAAAAAAGUUAGAAUUGAUAAUAUUGAUGUAUUGUUUUUAUAAAAAAAAUCAUUUUUUUGGUUAAUAAAUAAAAUAAAUAAUCAAAUCUGGAAGCACUUAUAAUUAUUAAAUAUCAGUCAUGUAAAUGGUUUGUGAGAACAUAAAGAAAUAAUAAAUUGUUUGGUAGUACAAGUGUUUUAUUUUGUUUGGUAAAAGUGCUGAACAAAUAAUAAUGACGUAUUGUUUUAUAAAUAUCAUUUAUGUUUAUAAAAAAAUUAAAAAUAUAUCUGGAAUGUAAAAAUUACAGUUCCAUUGAUAGUAGACCUGUCCAUGGGCCGGGCGGCUCGGCCCGGCCCGAUGGCCCGCUCAAAAUAUGGGAGGGUUUGGGUAAAAAUAUAGGCCCGAAAUAUGGGCUUGGGCAAAAUUUUAGGCCCGUUUAAAAAAUGGGCCAGGCCUCGGGCAAGAUUUUUUUGGUCCAGGCCCGGCCCGGCCCGAAAAGUAUUAAAUAUAUAUUUUUUAUUUUUAAAAUAAAAUAAUUUUUUAUUUUAAUUUUAUUUACUUUCAUUUCCUUGACUGUGUUACAAAAUAAUAAUAAUAAAACAUCAAGUUUGUUUUACUAAUCAAAUGUUAGAUUUUGUUACAACAAUUAAUACAACUAAUACAAUUAAUAAUUUGAUAAAUUUACUAAUAAAAUGUUAGAUUUUAUUACAACAAUUAAUACAAUUAACAAUUAAUAAUUUGAUAAUUUUACUAACAAUUAAUUUUAAUAACAAUUAGUUUUAAUUUUAUUAAAAAAAUAAUUUUAAUUUUAAUUUUAAUUAAAAACGGGCCGGGCCGGGCCCCAAAUUUUUUCUUCGGGCCGGGCCUGGGCAAAAUCUCAGGCCCGUAUUUCGGGCCGGGCCCGGGCCAAGUAAACGGGCUGAAAUUUUUUGUGAGCCCGGCCUGGCCCAUGGACAGGUCUAAUUGAUAGUUUUUAUCUCUAAUAUUAUGUUGGAGCGAAAUUCUAGUGAUUUCAUCUGAUCAUAAUAGCAGGAUUUACAUGGACUACAACAUCUAUAUAUUGAGAACGUACGUGUUUUACAUUAUUAAGUAUGGGAUUUAGAUUUCAAACUCUAGUGAUUUGGAACGAAGCUUCUCGCUGUGAUCUAUAUAAAAGUUUCCAUAUUCUUUCGACACAAAUCUUUAUACAGAUGACUUACGAAACCAUCACGAGUAUCCUCGCCUUGAAGCUAAGGAAAACAUCGUAUGUUCUUGCCUUGAUCAUAUCAGCAGCAGCAGCAGCAGAAGAAGAAGAUGUUGAAGGAAGCAUAUUGCUGUCCCGCCGGAUCUGAUGAAAGAUUAUUGGAUUAUGAGUAAAGCUAUUGUUUAUUACCGAGUGAGUUGUGAAUCCCAACCGGAUAAAGUGGCAACAGUUGUCAAAGCACUUCUCCAGGACUUCACCCUUUCAACAUCAUGCUUUAAAUUUUCUUCAUGCUUUGCAAAUGCAUCUGCAAAACUACCUGUUUGUUUCCGUUCAUCCGAGGUGUUGGAUAUUUGACGAAGGAAAGAUUGAAACAGAAGCAAAAAGUGUUAAGAUAUCUUUACAGCUACUAUUUCAUUAAAAACUGAUUGACUGUUUACAGGGAUAAGAAAGCUUAAAUAAGCUUAAAAACUGAUUGACUGUUUACAGGGAUAAGAAAGCUUAAAUAAGCUUAAAAAUAAUAAUAAAAUAAUUACAGUUUGACUUAAUUUAGUUAAUUUUCUUUUUUCAUUUUAACCAAUUGUCAAAAUUUCUAAUCAAAAAGUUAUUAUUGUUUCAGUACAAGUUGACAAUUUACAGAAUGAAGAGCUCACAGGUGAGAUCUCAAGCUUGAUGAGCUCGUAGUUCACAUGAAUGGUUGUUUCAUAAUACGAGGAUUUACAUCGUAAAAUACAGGAAAAUCAAAGUUGUGCCCAUUCAACUUCUUGCAGUCCAUAAUCUUGACCAGCUCGUCCAAACACCAUCUAGAAGAAGCGUAGUGUUUGGAGAAACAAUUACUGAAACCCUCGCUCCUUCAAUGGCAGUCAAUAGUGCCCCAGAAAUCUCAUCUCCUCUUCCAACUUUCUCAUUGUCUUUAAAAGUAUGGAUAUUCUUUCGAUUCAAAUAAUUGUAGAGAUGACUUACAAAACUAUCACGAGUCUCCUCACCUCUAAAGCUCAGAAAAACAUCGUACAUCCUCGAAGACAACAUACUGGUUUUCUGCCGGAUUUGAUUAUUCAAUCACGAGUAAAGAGCAUUUGAGUUUUAAGCAAUUACGCAUUCAUUUGGUUAUAUUUUAGAAACUUACGCCCAUACUACUACUUCACAGUUCACACUCUACAUCAACUGCAAAAGUGUGUAGAACCAUGCACGUUGAAAAUAAUGGUAUGAUUUCACUGUAAGCGUGUGGGACAAUGCACAUUGAAAAUAAUUGUACCUCUAUUUCUCUGGUUCCUAUUUGAACAACUUCAUUUGCAGUCUUUUGCUUUAUGUCCAUAUUUCUUUCUAACUCAAUAUAUGUCUAAGGUUUUUUCUCUUCUAUUUCACACACAAAAUAUUUGAAAUCUCCUUCUUUAUACUUGUUUAAACCCAGAUUCGAUAUCUGUAUGUGUAUAUACUUUAGUGAUUAACUUUUUAAAACUUUCUCAAUCUCCUUCUUUAUACUUGUUUAAAUCUAAAUUUAUACUUGUUUAAACCCAGAUUCGAUAUCUGUGUAUAUACUUUAGUGAUUAACUUUUUAAAACUUUCUCAAUCACCUAAAUUAAAUUUCAAAAAUAUUAAAAACAUACAUUCGGGCCGGGGAAAAUAUUUGUUUUUAAACAUGUACCAUUUUUUGGUAAACCAACUAUUUUUUCUCUAAUGAAAAAAAAAAGCUUCAACAGUAGUUUUAGUGUGUUUUUGUUAUAAAUAAUCAAGUAAAAGCAAUAUAUACCCCAUGAUUACCAUUUCACUGGUGGCAACUAUAUAAUCAUAUGCAGCAUGUAUACAAACAUAUAAAUCUUAAUUUAUACAGAUGACUUACGAAACAAUCACGAGUAUCCUCGCCUCUGAAGCUAAGGAAAACAUCGUAUGUCCUUUCUUCGUUCGUAUCGGCAGCAGCAGAAGAUGUUAAAGCAAGCAUAUUGGAUAUUUGAUGAAAGAUGAUUGGAUUAUGAGUAAAGCUAUUGUUUUUGAAGUGAAUUAGCCUUGCAUUUGCCUCUCUCUUAGGAACUUAUAGGCAGAGUACUACUUUACACUCUACAUCCACUGCUAAAGCGUGUGGGACCAUAGACUUUGAAAAUUCCUUCUUUUAUACAAUUUUUUAAAAUUUUAUAUUAUUUUUUUAUUUCAAAAGAUAUUUAAAAUUAUAAUUAACUAAAAAUAAAUUUAGUAGAAAAAAACUUAAAAAAUUAAAUGAAACAGAAAGAGUUUAAUGAUUUAUUUGAUCCUCAAAUUUAAUAAAAAAAGUUAUUUUAACUCCCUAUUUAUUUUUUUGUCUCUUUUAUCUCUUAAACUUGUAAUGUUUAUCAAAUUACCCAAAAAAUAGAUGGAAAACUUAACAUUUAUUAACUAUGUUGAUGUAAUAUACACACAGAUUAUUACAUGGAUGUCAUAUUAGCAAUUAACCAAAAUUUAAAAAAUCAAAAAAAUAAUAAAAAAUAUUUCUAAAAUUGUAACCUUCCUAACCCGACUUAGACAUUAUGGUCAAAUUCUUAAGGCUACACUAACCACCGAAAUGACUUAGUAAAACUAUUGAAGUUAAUAAAAUACUAUUUACCUUUGAAGUAAAACUUAACAUCAUAUCUCUUGUUCACAAAACUACUUAAGAGUUUCGAAAACAAAAUGAUUUUAAUGUUUAUUUAGUAAAAGUUGAUUUCCACUUUAUUUACUUCUCAAAAUCUCAUUUACAGAAUUUUAAUGAAAAAUCAUAUUUUUAUGCGUAAUUAAAUCAAAAUCCAUGUAUCCAUAGUAGACCUGUCCAUGGGCCGGGCGGCCCGGCCCGGCCCGACGGCCCGCCCGAAAUAUGGGAGAGUUCGGGUAAAAAUAUAGGCCCGGAAUAUGGGCUUGGGCAAAAAAAUGAGGCCUGUUUAAAAAAUGGGCCGGGCUCGGGCUCAACUUUUUUGGCCCGGCCCGGCCCGAAUAUAAUAAAUAUUUUUUAUUUUAUUUUUAAUUUAAAAUAAUUUAAAAUAUUUUUAUUUUUAAAAUAUUUUUUGUGUUUAUUAAAAACCGGGCCGGGCUAGGGCUUAUUAUUUUUUCCCUGGGCCGGGCCUGGGCAAAAUUUCAGGCCGGGUCGGGCCCGGGCCUAAGAGUCAGGCCGAAAUUUUUUUCCGAGCCCGGCCUGAACCCGGCCCAGCCCGGCCCAUGGACAGGUCUAAUCCAUAGCCUAUAAUCAAUUUAAAUGUCAUGGAUGCAAAAAAAUUAACCCAAACUUAAGUCUUAUACCACAAUUUAAAUGAAACAAUAUAGAUCCCAAAUAACAAAAAUUAUAAAUAUUUCAUUUAAAGUAUUUUUAAUGAACAUAAUCCUAGCUGAGACCUUCCAGUGCCGAGUUCAUGUCCUAACCUUGCAGGUUAAUACUUAAGAUGCAAUUAGUAAGACAUAAGUGGUAGUAACAGUAACAAUUUAUCAGAAUUAUAGUGACAAUAGGCAUGUAUUAUUCAUGUAUCAUACAUUGUAUCUAUACAAUUCAGUCAAUCAUAUUGCAGAUUUCAAAAUACACAUAAUAUCAUGGAGUUAAUUAAGUGAAAAAAAAAAACUCUAAAAAUAAAUUAGGGACUAUGCAAUGACUAAAUUGAAUAAUCUCAAAAUUUUGGGCAAAAUUAUGAAACAGGGGUCAUACGGCCUUGUAACCAAGCCGUGUGACAGUCUAAUGAUGUGUGAAUGGGGUACACGAUCGUGUAAUAGCUUGAGGUCGUGUGAAAAAUGAUAAAAUACCCUAUAGUAAGGACACAGUCGUGUGACAGGUCAUGUAACAAAUUGAGGCCGUGUGGUUCAAGAACUACCCUAAGUUUUACAGGUGCACAUGGCCAUGUGGUUCAUCCAUGUGGUCCACAAGCUAGUGUGAGAGACCGUGUGGCCAUAAAACUACACACGAUCACCACCGGUUCUCUUGGAAAAGACACACACCUUUCACCACAGGUCCAAUUAACGCUCUUCAUGAUCAAGUUUGAUCUGAUUCACCUAGAUUCGAUCCUUCAACAGCAAAUACACACAAUUAAUGAUUAGUAUCAAGAUUUGGAAAAGAUUCGUAAAAGAUUGAUUAAUCAAACGAAAUAUUAACAUCAGAUAUUAGUACGACGAAAGUACGAUAUCUAACCAUUGAAAUGUACUUACCGAUUCUUGAUAAAUGUAAUGGAUGCUAUUUGACAAUAAAUAUAAACACCGUUAAGAAUUGAAUGUACGGGGAACGAUCCAAUGGGGGAAAGAAAUAGUAUCAACAAAACGAAGUAAUAAAAUAUGAUUCAAAAAUGAGAGAAAAGAAGAGAAAAAGAAGAUGAAAGCAAAUCCUAUUAGAAUUUUGAGAAAAGGCAAGGUGCAAAAUCAAAAUAGGAAAAGUUGAUUAUAUACCUAGGGUUAGUAAACCCUAGGGGCAGCACAUGCAAAUUUCCCAACAAGGCUUGCCAAAAAUGGAAAAACAAAUGAGAAAGAGGGAAGACUCAAACUUAGGUCUCUAGGGUGGAUCAUCUAACUCUUAACCAUUAAGCCUAUAACUAUUUCUUGUUUAAUUUAGAUCCUUAACCAUUUAUAUUUCAGGGUGUGACAAAAAUUAAAAUUAUAAAAUUUAAUUUUAAAUAUUUCAAUUUUUUAAAAAUAAUUAAUUGUUAACGUAACAUACACAUUGACGGCCACAUUACCAAAGUAAACAAGCAAUAAGUUUUUCAUCAAUUUUUGGCUGAUUUAACAAACAAAGCAAGUUUAAUAACUAAAAGAGGCAAAAAAAAAAUGAAAGGUUAAAAUAAUUCUUUUUGUAAAGUUAGAAAACUAAAUAAACCAUUAUACCAAAUAUAUAUUUUGUUUAAUUAAUUGGUUUAUUUAUAAUAAUUUUUAUUUUAAUUUUCGACUCCAUUUCAAUUUUAUUCCUAAUUUUGCCCAUAUUAAUUUUAUUUACAUAUUAUAUUUAUCACAUAAUUUUUAUUUUUUAUAAUUUAACUUUUAUUUAUUAAAUAAGUCAUAUUUAUGUAAAUUUUUAUAUUGUAUCAAAUAAAAAUUAUUAUAUAUAUUUGCUAAUUAAAUCUGAACUUAUAUAGUUCUAUGAAGAUAUAAAUAGUUUAUCAUAAAAUGUACUCCCUUUCAAAUAUUAAACCCCCAACCACAUAAAUAAAGAAUGAGACAAGCAUCCAUCCCACUACAUCACAUGUGUUUUUUUUUUCCUAUAGCAUAUAUCUAAAACCAUUCUAAAUUUUCCAAGUGAAAGGAUAAACAUCCUUCACUAAGGGUAUCUUCGGAUGGAUGGUUGCUAUAGUGUGAUGGAAUUUUUUAUUUUUAUAAGUAUAGUAAUUAAUUUUACUAUCACCGUAAUUUUUAACUUUACCGAAAAUAAAUACACUAAGUCUAAGAAAAGAGAAAAAAAAUUGUGUUAAAUUCUUUUCUUCUUAAAGAGUUUCACUAAAAUAACAUAGUGGGUUUAUGCGUACCAUAUAUUUGAAUUGAUUUGAAAUAAUUUUUUAUCUAUAUUAAAUUAUAAAAAUAUGUAAAUAUUAAUAAUUUUUUAAAAUAAAUUAAAUAAAUGAUAAAGUCAAAUUAUUGAAUGAGAUCAGGUUAAUAAUAGACCAUGGCAAAAAAAAAAAAAUCUUUUUAAGACGAUGGUUAACUAUAUGAGUACAUAAAUAUUUCAAAACUUAUUUAAUAUAAAAUUUUAAUGUAUUAAAUUUUAUUAAAUUUUGGAAAUAGCAAAUUAAUAUUUCAAUUAUAAUUUAAGGGCCAAUUUGAUUAUGAGUUAAAAUUUAUUAGGAUACAAAUUAUAAAUUAACAUGAUGUAAUUUUUUCUAAACAUAUACCUAACAUGAGUUAUACUUAUCUGUACGGUAUGAUAUAUUUGAAUUGAUUUGAAAUAAAAUAGAUUUUGAGCCAACUAUCCAAAUUAUUAUUUUUGUAAUAACAAUAUUUUUAUCAAAAUUAAUUAUAAAAGUAUAUAAAAUUUUAAAAUAAAAUAAAUAAUAACCUUGAAUUUUUUUAGCUGGAUAAUAGACCAUGGCAAAAAUAAUCUAGCCCAUCAGAAAUCUACCUCAUUGCGAUGGAAAUUUUGGUCAUUAUAUGUUCUGAUCAUAUCUUUUUUUUAUACAAUGAUUAGAAUUACUCAUAGUCCCUCCCCAACCCAUAAAUAGGAGGAUAAUGAGCUUCAACGCACUCAAACCCACAUCCUCUUACAUUGGUAAUAAUACUCAUACCAAUCGAGUUAAAACUCAAUUGAUUAAAAUAUAUUAUUAGAAUACUUUUACCUAUAAAUUUAAAAUAAUUGCUCUUUGGCCGUUGGAUCAUGAAAACACAUAAAAGCAAACGCACAUUGUGUUUUUACUGGGCUACUUGUCUAUGGGUUUGAUUCAGUUAAUAGUGAUUGUGAAGGAACUAAAAAGGUAUUCUCAAUCAAACUUCAACAGUGUCAGAAACAAUGCUUAUGACUAAUGCCAAUUGCUUGAAGAAGUGAUUGUAUAAACAAGACAAAAAAAUAAAGUACACGUCAACCUUAUUUAGAGCGAUUAUUCACUAUCAUAAUAACUAUACAACAAGUGACUACAACCUCUAAUAUUCACCAAUAAAAAACUCAUGUCGGAAAAAUUUAGUGACUAGAUGAAAAAGUUAAUAGAUUUGAGCAACGACAUCAAGUUUACCGGCAUAUUGCAUUCUGAGUGGCAACUUGUCAAAGUACAUGGACGUAAUAACAAUGAGCCUGAUGAAAUUGCCAAAGCCGGUUCAUACAAUUUUAAUGCUACUUGGAGUCUGUUUAGAGUUAGCGCAUAACUGUGUAAUGGUGAGUUUUGGUUUGGUCCCUUGGUAAUUGCAUUAGGCAAUAGGAAGGGGCCUUUUUUGUCUGAAUGUUUCUUCCUAACUAUUUACCUUUCAAAAUGUAUUAAUAAAGAUAUCAUCUAUCUAUAUAUGCAGGUGUGGACUGCAGAAGUAUUAAUAAAUAUAAAAAUUCUUGGCUCAGAGCAUACACAAUUUUUGUAGAGUGGUUCUACUUAUAUUUUACUUAUAAAAGAUUCUUUUAAAUAAGCUUCUUAUCAUUAAAAUUUAACUAAAUUAUUUAACAUGUCGACAAAAUUUAGGAUUACAUGUCAGAUCGAAUAUAUUAUAAAUAUCUAAAAUUUGAUUCAAAUGCUUUAAAUAUGCUCAAUGUUAUAUUCAAGCUAGCACUUCACCCCUAAAUUAACAGUUAGCUUGACGAAUAUUAAUAGUUUGGAGGCUCAUUUAGAAAGCUGAGUUUAGCAUCUGGACAAUAGUUUGAGAAUAUCUAUAAGUUAUUAACCCAAGAAAGAAAUAUAUAUGAAAGAACAAUUUGAGCUUCCAGCAUCAUUUACCUAUCCUAAACUAGGACUGUUUUGUUUUCGACCCAGCAAACAAGGAGGUGGAAUUUAAACAAGGAAGAGACUAACAAUUGUCCUUUUUUUUCGAGAUUCAAAACUCUCAUCAAAUUCAAUUUAUAAAAUAUCUUUUCCUUUAUUGCUUAAAUUAUACAAUAUAAAAUAUGAAUUUUAAGAAUUUAGAACUUCCUAAAGUUUGAUUUAUUAAUAUUUUCUUAAAUACAAUUAGACAUGUAUUAAAUUUCUAAUUGUGUUUAAAUUAUAAGAAAGAAAAAAGAAAAAGAAGUUUUAAUAUUUUGGGUGAAAAUGAACAUAAAAAUUUAGAAAAUCACUUAAAACUACAAGUAAAGCCUAAGAUAUUAUAUACCAUACUAAUUAUAAACGUUUCAGAGUUUGAAGUUGACUACAAAAGAUAUACACAAAUAAGAAUUUGAGCUUGAAGCACUUAAAAAGAAAGUGCUUACCAAGUACAAAGGUAUCGUAAUGGAUUCUCCCCAAGAAGAUGGUAUUGGAAACUCAUCCAUGGAGGUUUUGACUCCUAGAAAGGUACAUUUUAGGGAUAAACCUGAAGAGGUGAAUACAAAUAUUAUCGUUGAUACCUUCUUGGAAAGAGAAAUUAAUGGGGCAAUCAUCCAUGGCUAAUAGAAGUGGGCCAGAGGAAGAUGAGGAUUUCGAUCUGAUGGAAGGAGAUAUACAGAAAUCUAUUGUUAAUGUUAUACCUGCAAUAGACUUUUCAGAAAGGAUCCACCAAUUGCUCACUAAGGACAUGGAAAACACAAUAGUCUUAAAACUCCUUGGGCCAAAAUAUUGGCUACUCUCUUCUACACAGCAAAAUUUACAGCAUUUGGAAGCCACAAUUUCCGUUUAAACUGAUAGACGUUGAGAACGACUAUUUUCUGGCUAAAUUUCAAAACAAAUUUGACAGUGAAAAGGUCCUCUCUGAAGGCCCUUGGAUUAUCUUCGGUCACUAAUUGAAAGUACAACUGUGGACGAUAUCAAAACAAAACUCACUAAAUAUUCACUUUCCAAAAUUUUGUCUCUUUUAACCUUUUACUCAAUUACGUGCAUCAACCUAUAAAGCUUAUAGCUUCAUUGUGGUGGGAACAUGGCAUUGAAAAUCUUUGUACCACUUUAAAAUGCAUCCAAUAAAUUGAGAGCAGACACGAAUCUAGAAAUAUUUUUAGGGACGGAAUUAAAUAAUAAUUUCUUAAGAAAUUAAAAUAUAAUUUUGUAAUGUAUUAAUUUAUUAUUUUCAUAUUUUUUGAAGGAUUAAAUAUAUAUAUUUUAAUUUUAGGGGACUAAAGUACAAUUUUAAUAUAAAUUAAAUUUUAAUUUAAUUAUCUUAUAGAGAUUAAAAUAGUAAUUUUCUAUUUUAAUUUUUUAGUAUUUUAAAAAAAAUUAAACUAAAAUGAUAACUUUUGUAAAUAUUAAUAGCUAAAUUUGUUGAAUUUUUUAUAUUCAGGAUCAAAUGAUAGAAUGUGUAAAUAUUAGAGGGUUAAUUUUAUUAGACCAACAAAAAAAAAACCCACAUCAAUUUUGAGUAACUAAAAUAUUUAAUUUUUAAAAAUUUAGUGACUAAAAAAAAUUAAUAAUAAUAAUAAUUGAGUAAUCAAAAUAGAAUAACAAACAGGGUGAAAUUUUUAUAGUUUACCAUUAGUUUUACAAUGCAAACAUGAAUUACAUUUUAUUCUACACUAGUUUUAUUUAGUGUUGUUAUUUUUUAGCUGGAAGCAACAAAUUUCAUGAUUUCAAAGCUAAGAUAUUUUUUACGGUAAUGAAGAACAUGAUAAAAUUAUCGACCAAGAGUCAAAUUGUAUUUUGUCUCAUUUAUUAAAAAAAUAGGUAAAUUAGUCUUUAUACAUUAGAUCAAUGAGAAAAUUUGUCAUUAUACUAAAAAUUACAUCCAUUUCUACAAUUAAAAAUAUGUCAUUGUACGUUAGAAUGUGGUACAUGCCACAUGCAACUAUUUGGUUAUUCUAUCAGUCAUGUCAGUAUUUAUUAGUAAAAAUGGAUAAAGUUUUUAACAAAAAGAACUAAUUUGCUCUAAUUUAACCUAUAAAGACUAAUUUAUCUAUUCUUUUAUUCGAAGAUCUACAAUGGGAGAGAUUAUGUACCAUCAUCAUAUUUUUAUCUAAUAUUAUCUAAGCAUUCAUAAAGGCUAUUGAUAUGGAACGAAAAUCUAGUGAUUUGAUUUCAUCAUACUAGUUAAGACUUACAUUAUUACGUAUGGAAUUUAGAUUGCACUUAUUUGUUCAUUGUGAGGAAUUUUUGAAGUUUAUAUUAUUGUAUAAUCAAAUUAUUUUAACAAUUUAUACUAAGCUUUUAUCGGAGAAAGCCUUAAUUGUGAGGAAAAUUUGUCAUUACGUCCUUUUAAAAUUUAUAAAAUUUUAAAUUAGUAAUAGAAAAAUUGUUUUGAUCCUCUCAAAAAUAAAAAUAAAAUUAAUUUAAUCCUUUAAAAAUUAUAAAAUAUAGAUUAUUAAAAUGAUGAAAUUACAUUUUCACUAUCGUAAAAGUAUAUAAUUUAAUAUCGACCAAAAAAUUUUCUAAUUUCGCCUUGUUGGAUUAUGAGUAGAUGAACUCCUUUUAUUGCCAAUUACGCCUACUUCUAGAAGAAAAUUAAGUUUACAUUUGAUUUUUUUUUCUUAGAAGGUACCGAUAGUAUUUUAUUAUGCAAAAGCUUAAAGGCAAUAGCUCUGGCAUAAACAACGUUACAUUAAAAACACUUAUGAUAUGAUGAUUAAGAAUGUUUAUCAUAUUAAGUGUAACCUGAAUUCAAGUUAUAUUAGUUGCAUUUAUUAUUCGAACUUUGUCAUGUUAUUAUAAUUCAUCAAAAAAAAUUCUUCGAACCACUUUAAGACAAUGGAAAGAUCACAUUGUGGGCAGCGUAAAAGAUUAGGGACUAUAAUUAGUACCAUAUUUGAUUAAACAAUUUGAAAGUAUUGUUUUACUUUGUUUGUUAAAAAAAGUUGGAAUAGAUGUCUUGUUUUUAUAAAAUAUCAUGCCACGUAAAUGGUUUGUGACAACGUAAGAGAUAAUACAAUGUUUUAUUGCGUUUGGUAAAAGUAUUGAACAAGGAAGAAUGAUAUAUCACUUAUGUUUAUAAAAAAUAAAAAAUGAAUUUAGAUAAAGUGAUGAUUAGAUUUGAGUCAUUUAUUUAUGUUGGUUUUUGAUAAAUUUAUAUAUUAUUAAAACAUAUAUUUUUAUUUUAACAUAAUAAUAUAAAAAACUUGAUAUUUUAUACUAAAAAAGUAAAAAAAAAAUUACUUAAAAAACACAUUCACAAUGAAUCUGAAUAAAUUGAAGUUGAAGUGCUUUUGAAUCUAGAUAAAAGUUUGUUUAGAUUCAUUCUUAAUAUUAAAUAGUUUAUAUAUAUAUAUAUAUUAAUAUAUAUAUAUAUAUUCAUAAUUAAUUUAGAUUAAUUAGUUCAAUUAAUUCAAUCGGUUCGUCUAAUUUGAUUAAGUAAAUUAUUAAAAAUUUGAUUCAAUCAGUGAUCAAUCCGAUCCGAUUUAAACAACCUUAACCAUAUAUUUUAUCGGUUUUGAGAUCAAGUAAAUUUGACUUUGACUCAAUUACCCAAUUUUUAUUUUUUAUAAAAAAUUAUUUAAAUGAAAGGCAUAAUGUUUUUCUUUUGGCCCUCCAACUUUAUGAAAAAAAGUCAUUUUAGCCCUUCAUUUAAUUUUUUGCCUCUUUUAGCAUUUAAAUUUGCGUUGUUUGUCAAAUACCCUAAAAUGGAUGGAAAAAUUAACAUAUGUUAACUUUGCUGAUGUGGCAUCUACAUGGAUUACCAGUGUACGUCACGUCAGUAAUUAACUUUUUAAAAUAUUAAAAAUUAAAAAAUUAAAAUUAUUUAAAAAAUAUACAAAUUAUAAGUAAAUUUAUAUAUUUAAUAUUUUUAAAAAUUAAUUAAUUGAUGACCAUACACGUGGACUACCACGUGGAUGCCACAUCUUCAAAGUCAAUAUGCGUUAACUUUUUCAUCCAUUUUGAGGUAAUAUGACAAAUAAUGUUAAUCGUUCUUGGUUAUUCUCUAAAAGGGGGAUUCCUUUUUGGUGUUUAGGAGUUAAUCAAGGGGCUGGUGGUUUUGAAUCGACAUUGUGAUUGUGUGAAAUCGUGGUUACUCAAGCGAGGUAUGGGUUUUGUUAGGUUUUUAGUCGAGUUCCUUCCGAAAUUGGUUGAUUAAAAACAAAUUAAGUGAUUAAUCUGGAGAUAUGUUGGUUGAUUUUUAGGUUCUGGAGGCUUAGGAGUGCUUACGCAUUAGAAACAAUACCAGAUGUGUACCAACGCAGAAAACGGGAUUCGGUGAAAAGCUGAAAUUGCUUGCUGUUGAAAAAUAAGAGAAAAUGAUGCGAAAAAUUGUAGAGAAAGGAAAUAAGGGUGUUUUAAACUUGGAAAUCAACAUUUUGCACUAAAAUAGUUUUGGACAACAGCAGUAGUCUAACAUUGAAAAAUCAUCAAAAAUAGUGGAAAUUGAGUUAGAGGUUGAAUAAAAUAUGAAAUUAAAUUUUAUUGACUCUAGUUUUUCAUGGAAGAAACAUGUAAGCAAUGGAAUUUUAAGUUAUGAGAUAUAAUAAAUUUUGUGAGACAAGGUCAGAAUGGUUUCGGGUUCUCUUGUUCUGACUUUGGAAAAUCAUCAAAAAAUGUAAAAAAAAUUAGGGGUGUAAAUUUAUAUUUUUAAAUCCUUAAUGAGUUUAUUUUCAAUAGAAACAAACAAAAACAUCAUCCAAAUUCCGUACUAAGAGAUAAAUAAUUUUUAGUAAGAAGAGGUUGAAGCUGUCAAAUAGGAAAAUAAGGAUAAAUUUGAAGAUUUUACUGUACUUAUUUGAUAAACUAUAAAUUUUGAAAAUUUUAUGGUAGAAAGGAAUUUGAGUCUGGUUUCAAAAACAUCAAGCGGAUCUUAAUUUGGAAUUUUGUAGCUCAAGAUAUAAAUAAUUUAGUGACAAUGACUCAAGUAGACAGCUUUGAAUGAACAUGUAAGUAAAUAGUGAAAACAUAUAUGAAUAUUUAACUAGCAUGGGUUACAUUAAAUAUGAAUCACACGGCCAAGGCCAAUUUAGGCCGUGUGGGCCACACGGGCAUGUGAGCCUAUUUUUUUGAAAAUUUGUCUAAGGUUGCACGGGUCGCUCAGGCCGACUGUGGACCUACUAAAGUGUCGAUAAGCCCUACUUAGACCCCUAUAUGAGUGAUCUGUCUGUCUGAUUUCUGUAACGAGCAUGAAUUAUGAUAUCUGAAUGUUGUAUAAUAACAUGAUAUCUUUUGUAUGUUGCAUUGCAUCGGGGUGGGUUAUUGUUAUCUGGAGGAAGUGUCUAAAAGGCUAUUAAGUUUGUUAUCUGGCAGCUCUACUGCAACUUUCUGAUUAUGUGCCGCAUUUUGGUACAACAUUUUGUGUAGGGAUGGGUGGGUUGGUUUAAUCCCUACAUGGUGUGUAGGGAUGGACGGAGAUGGUGUGUAGAGGCUAGUGGGUAGGAUUUUGAUUUUCUACUAUUGCAUAUUGUAUUUGAGAUGGGCCAAGGCCCUAAAUUAUAUCUGUGUCUGUAUCCGAAUGGGCCAAGGCCCAAACUGAAUCUGUAAUGGGCUCAGGCCCCAGACUAUAAUUGAUUGUUUUCUGAUGUGUAUCUGUAUAUAUGUUUUCUAUAGGGAUUACACACUGAUUUUGCAGAAACUCACCCCUUUUUAUGUUUAAUUUGUACAGGUAAUCCCUAAACUUAGGCGGAUCGGUGCAGGGGAGGGCUGGACGGUGACCACCACUACUGAACUGCUUUAUUACAGCUUUUAAUUUUAUAUUAUCUUUGGGUAUUUAUUAUUGUAAUGUUGGGAAUUUGGAUUGUUUGGUUUAAAUUGGGAUUUUAUACUGUUUUUAUGGAUUUUUAAACUGCAACUCAACAAAACACGAUUUUUUUCUAAAAACUAAGAUUUUCUGUUUCGUAAAAUAAUUGGUUUCAAAAGCUUAUGCUUAAAAGACAUGUUUCAAGGCAAAUCAGCUAGUUCACAUUUUUCCGAAUUAAAUAAAAGCUAAUUAACUGAAACGGUUCUAACUUGUCAAUCUCAAUUUCAAACCCCAUUCCAUGUGACAUCACUAGAUUCAGCCAUAACGUCUAGGUCAGGUUUGGGGUGUUACAAUUAGACCUUUACAAUGGUAUAUUAUAUGCUCAAAAUGGUUGAGUGAUGAAUGAGAAAUUGAUGCUCAAAGUAAGCUACUUGGAAGUAUUUGUUGGGGAAAAGAAAAGUUUAGAUCCCACGUUGGUUAAAUACAAAGUAUGAGAUUUGUAUAUAUAUGAGAACACACUUGAAAGGUGAUUGAAUGGCUAAGCUUGGAACCUUGCCUCGCGCAUAGGGGUGCAGGUCCAAACCCGUUGGGGUUGGGGCGCACCCACACAUUGUUGGCAACGUGAAAUGUCUGAAUAGCCAAAAUGGGUUUAUGAAUAUUUUAGCCCAAUACAAAAUCUGAUAUAAAAGGACAUAUAUCUUUAUUUUAUUUGAUUUUAAUAAAUUUGAUUUGAUUUUAAUCAAAUUGAUUUAAUUGCCUCUUUAAUGCAUAUUUUGUCUCCUUAUAAAUGGAUAUUUCCAAAAAUUUCUCCACUUUGAAUUUCUAUAAAAUGCUAAUACUUCUUCAGAAUUUUUUGUUCAAUACUCAUACUCUCUCACACCGAAUUUAUUUUGCUUUCAAAAUUCUUCUUUUUCUCUUCAUAUUUUUCAACGUUUCGGUGAUAGAAAAAGACAACAUUUAUUCAUUGAUUGCUGCUAAGGUGCUACUGCUUUGAUCUUCAUGUCGUUGUAUCCUGGGAGACAGUAAAUCAAUGCUUCUCCAAGUACUGUAGGAGCGGCUGAAUUUGUCUUAAGGAAACUAUUUUAAACAGGCCUCAAUUUGUUACGCUAUUUAUUGAUUUUUGUAUUUGACAAUUUAAAUAUAAAUUAUUUGAUUUACAUUUUAUUUUAUAUAUAAAUAUUUAUUUAUAUUUAUAUAUUUUAUUCGCUAGCGUGUUUUGUCCAACAAAAAUCAACUGCUAUUAAUGUUAAAUACACUUACAUCUUGUGAAAAAGAAGAUUACUGGCUCUUUCUUAAAAAGUUACAGUUUAGUUUGGCGUGAGGAACAAGGACAUUAAAAGUGUACCACUUUAAGACCGCCGAAAGUUCAACUUUGUUGACUAGUUUAGUUUGUGAUUCUACCAUAUUUGAUUAAACAAUUUUAAAUUUAUAUGUUAGUUUGUUUCCUAAGAAAAGUUAGAAUUGAUAGUAUUGAUGUAUUGUUUUAUAAAUAUCAUUUUGUCUAAUAAAUAAAUUUGAUUUUUUUUUUAAUUAUCAAUCAUGAACAUAAGAAAUAAUAUAUUAGAACUCAUGUAUUUAUAGUUACUAAAAUAAUAAUUAUACUAAUUCAAUUAAAGCUGAAUCCACCGGUGUAAUCUUAUUUUUCGAUAAAAAAAAAAAUAGCAUACAUUGGAAUUGAUCUUUGUAGCAGUUCUCAAUAAAAGUAAAAUCCUCACCUUAAAUCACGGAAUCCUGCAAAAAGAGAAAAAGUAAAAAAGAUGGAAGCAUCCAGGAAAUGGAGGAGAGAUUGUAUAAAAUUAUGAUUUUAGGUCUUCUUUAUCCCUUUUUUAAUUAGAGAAUUUACAAAUCAGAUUUUUAUUAUUGAUUCUAGCUUUUUCCUCUUAAUUAAAAGAAUUCAAAUUCAACUAAAAAUACUAAAAAUUAGGAGGAAAAAUAUGAUUUAUUAUUCUCCCAUUAGAAAGAAAUAAAAAUGACAUAAGAUUAUAAUUUUAUACAAUUAUUUCUCAGAGGACAUGAAUGAGCGAGGGAAUGCUGUUGUCGUGAAUAUAGUGUCUCCAUAUCACUUCCAAAUGGUCAAAUAAAACAUAGUUAAUUAAAAUUUGGUGCAUAUUAUUUAUUAUCUCUCUCUUUCUUCGGCAUCAUCCAUCACUAAUGAAAGAGACAAACAGUGAUACUUGCUUUCUUUUUCUUUUUUGAAAGACUUUUAAGGAAAUUGAGGUUAUUCAUUCACUAUGAUUUACAUGGUUUUUAAAAUUGGAUUAGUCAUUGGAUUGAUGAAAUCAUCGGUUCACCAGAUUAAUUAGUUCAAUUAAUUCAAUCGGUUCGUCUAAUUUGAUUAAGUAAAUUAUUAAAAAUUUGAUUCAAUCAGUGAUCAAUCCGAUCCGAUUUAAACAACCUUAACCAUAUAUUUUAUCGGUUUUGAGAUCAAGUAAAUUUGACUUUGACUCAAUUACCCAAUUUUUAUUUUUUAUAAAAAAUUAUUUAAAUGAAAGGCAUAAUGUUUUUCUUUUGGCCCUCCAACUUUAUGAAAAAAAGUCAUUUUAGCCCUUCAUUUAAUUUUUUGCCUCUUUCAGCAUUUAAAUUUGCGUUGUUUGUCAAAUACCCUAAAAUGGAUGGAAAAAUUAACAUAUGUUAACUUUGCUGAUGUGGCAUCUACGUGGAUUACCAGUGUACGUCACGUCAGUAAUUAACUUUUUAAAAUAUUAAAAAUUUAAAAAAUUAAAAUUAUUUAAAAAAUAUACAAAUUAUAAGUAAAUUUAUAUAUUUAAUAUUUUUAAAAAUUAAUUAAUUGAUGGCCAUACACGUGGACUACCACGUGGAUGCCACAUCUUCAAAGUCAAUAUGCGUUAACUUUUUCACCCAUUUUGAGGUAAUAUGACAAAUAAUGUAAGUUUAAGAGUUAAAAUAGGCAAAAAAAAAAUUAAACAGAGGGUUAACAUGGAAAUUCACAAGGUUUUUUCGUCAAUUUUAUGGUAAAAGUAUCAUAAAGGUUAUUGUACUAGAAGUCAAAUUAAUUUUGUCGCUUCUACUCAAAAUAUGGGCAAAUUAGUCAUUAUACGUUAGAUCAAAGAGUAAAUUGAUCAUUCUGUUGAAAAAUUAAUCUAUUUCUAUUGUUAAAAACUAGUCUCUAUAUGUCAGCAUGAGCUAGAUCGGGUUAAAAAUAUACUAGGGCAAAGGAUAUAAUUUUUCUUUUUAGUCCAAUCUAACUCGUUACGAUGGAAAUUUACGAGUUUUUUUUUUCCCACAUAUGAAUAGUUUAGUCAAUUUAUGAGUCUUUUAGUCAACUACGCUUACAUUUGGUUUUUUUGUUGGACGAUGAAAACACAAAGCAAACCUGCAAUCUCAUGAUGCUUGGGUUUUGAUUUAACAAAAGGGGUUUGCUUUUUAUGGACUUUCAAAAUUCAAAUUAAUGCUUUGGAAAUAAGAAAUUGACUUCAACAAUAUAUUUGUUUAUUUCCUAGCUUUUCAAUUUGUCUGGUCAAAUAUUAGUUUGGAGGUUGCUGCCACUGAGAUUAAGAUUGUACUAACAGGUUUUUGAGUAAGAAAUAUUGCAAUUUUAGUUCCAUCAUUGUUAUUGUUGACAUAACAAAUGCUAGCGCAAUUUUAGUUCCAUUUUAGGUGAAUCAUGUUAUAAACCAAUAAAAUGGAGUGUCAUGCAAAGAUGCAGGAGUAGAUCCUAAAAUUAAAAUGCAGUGGUAAUUAGUGAUAAAUUGUUAGGGAUGAUGAAAGUGAUUGUGAAAAAAAAAAACAAGUUGCAGAGCGAAAUUGCUAAAAGAUCAAAAGAUUUCAAUCGAAAUGUUCAAAUAUUUACUUAUACUUCUUUGAACUAAUGAAGUUGUUAAAAGAAGUGAGAAUGAACAUAUUGAAGUAUUGAAUAGUGAGAGUGAGAGAAGUUAUAGAAGUUUAUAAACAGGGAAUUCAAUAUUGGGGGAUGAAACAAAAUUUUAGAAGUUUGGGAGGGUAAAAAUAAAAAAUUAAUUUUAAAAAGGCUUAAAUUGAAUACCUAAAAAUUGGGAGGGGCUAAACAUGACAUUAUUCAACUUAACUUUACGAACAUUACAUGAAAGUUACUCUCGCAUAAUUUACGUGGAAGUUACACUCAACUACCAUUUUUAAUAAAUGAAGUGUUACUUCCCAAGUAUACUUUUUGCUUAAUCAAGAAGGGAAGCACUUUGACGGAAUUAGCCUUGUUCAUAGUUUGUUGAAUCGAAAUUAGAAAAUCCUUAUUCAUCAUAUUUCAAAGUCUCAAAAUACUAUUACUGAUCAUUUGGUCAAGUAUAUUGUCGAAACCUUCUUGAAAAUCGAUUUUUAUUUAAAAACGAAAAUGGAGUCGCCACCAAUCAUUUUUAUGAGGUGUGAUCGGAUCACCUCGUAAUUUGAUCAUUUUAAUAAAAAGUUUGAUUUAUUAAAAUAAUGAUUUUCGUUCUAUAAAAUCCAGGAAAUGGGUUCGGGGGUCGGUUACGUACGAGAAAUGAUUAGCACCCUCGUGACGCCUAAAAAUUGGUACCUAGUUGAUCACUUGAUGUCUUAGUAUUCAGAAUUGAAAAUUUGAAGAGAAUUUAAAGCACGAUCCCUUUUUGUAUUAAAAUAUUACUUAACUAAAUUAAAUUAAAUGGAAAAGGCCUUAUUUCAAGUUAAUUGAGAAGAAAGACCAUGCCCCGUGAGUUAGGACACGAUACCUCGAAUUCUCAAAAACCAGAAAAUCGCCAUUUAAUCGCUACCUUAAUCUUGUUUUUCGUUAUUUUAAAAAGGAUAUUCGAUUAUUUCGGUUUUAAGAAGAGGUCAUACUCCGUAAGUUAGGAGCAUGACUCUCCGAAUUCUAAAAAUAAUGAACAUUGCCUUGGUUUUAAUUAUUUCAUAGGCGUUAUGUAGAAUGAACGUAACCUCUAAAACGAUGUACAUUUAGGAAAAACAGGAUAGUAUGUUGUAAUAUGACACAUGGAAUGGUGAUAGCAAAAUAAAACAAAAUAACCAUGUAAGUAAGAAUAAAAAGAUGAUAUUAGGAUAAUAAGUAAAAUAAAAUAAAAUAAGUAUAUAAAAAAAUACCAUGUUGAUAAAUAACGACAAUAAUGCAACUAAAAUAGUAAUACGAAUACCUUACUACAAUAAUAGCAAUAAUCAUAUCAUAAUUAUUAUCAUAAUAAUAAUAAAUAAAAGGAAACGUAAAUGACAUAAAUUUUAAGUGUUAAAAUAAAUGAAACAGGCAAAAUUAAUCAAGUGAGGGAUAAAAUUGAAAUUUAAACGGAAAUUAAGUUAUAAAUCGCAAAAUAAUUAAAGAAAUGAGGAAUAAAGGACUAAUUUGAAGGUCCAGUAAGAUCUAAUGUCUAAAUAAAAAAAUAAGAUAAAAAAGGCUAAAUUAAAAUGCGAAGCAAAAGUGUAGGGACUCCAAGGACAAUUAAUCCAAAACAGUACAUGCGCCAUUCCCCGAGGGGUCAACGGUAUAAGGACUAAAUUGAAAGCGAAUUAAAAUCAAAAGUUAUAAUCUAAAAAAGAAAAGAAAAAAGUGAAAUUAGGACCACAUUGCAAAAGGCUCAAAGGCGGAAGGACUAGGGCGAAUUAGACCUUCCCCUCAAAAACAUGUGGAUCCUAGUGUCACGGGGCUAGACCUUUCGUCUCGCAAUCCGUGCGGCCUUAGGCGAUCCGUUUGCUCCAAACUCGCCCAAGUCAGUCUUAACUCGAUGAGGAUUCUUUAAGAACUCCUCCAAGGCACCAAUUGAACAGCGGAAGCGAUUUUAUGCCAAAAGAAGCUAAGCAAAAGAACAACAGAAAGAGCGCUCGCAAAGUGUUUGAGUAAAUGCUCUCUACUUCUCUUAUUCACAAAGAAUAAUGAAACAAUUCAGGAGUGAGUACAAAUGAGGGGGAGGCUCUCUAUUUAUAGUUGAGCUCCCCCAAAACCGACGGUCAAGAUACAAUUACAUCGACGGAUGAGAUUUAACCAUAUCCCUUAAUUUUAGGGAUUUACAAGAUAAGCCUUAUCAAAUCUAAUCUAAUCUUUACAAGAUAUGAUUCCCUCUAUCUUCUAAGAUUAGUUACCAUAUUAGCCUAAGUUGCCAUCUCUUCGCUAUCGGGCCAACCAGGCUUCAAUCUGACAGGCUUCUCCAAUAUCUCUUUGAAUCGGGCCAGUUCUUGUGGGCCAAAUGAUCCACAUCUGAGCAACAGACCUCCAUUGGAUGCAUUUGGUGCGCUGGUCACGGGCUUUGAACUGCGGCCCGUGACACUAGAGGGAUCUUGGUCGGGUCAUCGGGUUGGCCCCAAAACGACGUCGUUUUGGGGAAUUUGGAACCACCUUGAAACGGUGUUGUUUAAGCGCCCUAUUUAAGUAAAAAAAAUAUUAAAAAAUCAUUUCUACACUCCUCAGAAAAUAAAAGCUUUCCCUCUUUCUUUUUUCUUUGAAAUCGCCCCUCCUUCAGCCAUGGGUGCCGUCUCACGUCUAUCGUGCCCACCGAUCAUCGGCGAUAGCGACCGUCGCCUCUGGUGGCCGAAAAAAUUCCAAAACACCACCUUUGACUCCUCUUUUCGCGUAGAACUCCAAUUCGGAGUCGAAAUUGCCAGAACUAAAGCCAAAACUCCAAAAAAAAAAAAAGUAGAGAAAACCUUUCGGUUUUCUUCUCUCCGACGAAAAAAUUAAAAUUGAAAUACUAUUAUUUUGGUACAUAUAUUUUACUUUAUAUAUUUAAGAGAUAAGUUUUCAAUUUAUAAAUUAUUUUUUAUAUAUUAAUAUAAAUUUUAUAUUAUUUCAAAAGAGAUAAUAUAUUAAUUUUAACAUAUAAAAAUUACUAUUAUAAUUUAAAUUAUUUAAGAGAUAAAAUAUAAAUUUUAUACUCUUUUUUUUUAAAUUAAAAUAUUUUUCUCAAUUUCAUCUUUCACUUGUUCAUAAAUAUAUAAGGUCAACACCUUGAAGAUUUAGUUAAAUAUUAUAUAUAAAACAUCAAAAUUAGAUAUACCUUCAAAGUGCCGGAGACUUUUGAUGGCAUUGUAGCUUAAAUCUAAUGUCUUCAAAUAUGUCAAACUCUUCCAUUCUAUCCAAGAACAAUAAAAUAUAUAAGUUAAUGCUUUGACAACUUAGUUGAUUGUAUAAAGAAAAUCAAAUUUAAAUAUACCUUGAAAGUGCUUGAGGCUUUCUAUUCCAUUGUGAUUUAAAUCUAAAGUCUUCAAGUUUGUUAAAUUCUUCAAUUCUAUUCAAGAGCAAUGAAAUAUAUCAAAUAUCAAUACAAAGCUUAUUCAUAUAAAAAUAAUUAAUUUAGGAUAUUUAAUUUUAAAACAACAAUAUAUUUUCGAAUUUUAAUAUAAAAGUGACAAUUACUUGUAUCUAAUAUUCAACAAUUACAGAGUUUAAUACAAUUAUUUAAUAUAUUUCGGUUUAUCUAAUUUAGGAACAUGCUAUGUACAAUUCAAUGAAACAUUGAUGUCACGUCAUAUAUAUCUCUUUUUUAAUAGUUUUAUAUCACAUCAGCAUUUUCAUCCUGAUUUUCAGCAUUUUCAUCUUGAAAAAAUUCAAAUCCGAAAUAAAAUCCUGAAAUUCAGGAUAAGCAGAAUACUGAUGUGGCAUAAAACUAUUGGAAAGAUAUGCUAUCCCUAUUUCAUACAAUCCUUUCUCACGAAACAUAAGAUAAAUCUUUAACAGCUAAAAACAAGAAGCAUUAGCAUCCAUAAUGUUGAUAUAAGAAAGAAAAACAGUGAGGGCGAGGCAAGAAACAAUCUCGAAAGAGGGAAAAAAGAAAGAAUUUAAAUCAAAAUUUGCAAUUAAGCAGCAUGUAUCAAAAAUAUGAUCCCAACUAUCUUAUCUUUCAGCUAUAAUUUGUAUUUGUUUUGCAUCCUGUUUUAGUUGAGAAGCUCUUUUAUAUAGAGCCAAUAAAAAUAAUCUAGCCCAUUUUGAAUCCGUUUAGCUUCAAAUUGCAAGUCUCAAUAUGAUCUUCCGAGUUUCCUUGUACAACAAAUGUUUCAGCCAUUUGUUUCUCAUCUGGGGUGACAAAAUGGCUGAAGCCCUUUGUUUGGCGUCUUUGUAGAGCAAGUGUUUUUUGCCAUUGUUUGUCUUCAUUGACAAAUGUUAAGAAUGCUUCGUUCAUCUGCUGUAAGUGCAGUGCUGAAAGCACAAUUUUCUUAAUAUUAGUUGUUGUUCUAUCCCUACCCAAGAGGUUUCCCAGAAUCUCUCUUUCUUGCCGGUUGAGAUGUAGCAAGUCAGCAAGUAAUAUGCUUGGAUCUUUGUUCUUGAUUUCUUGGAAAGCUGACUGAACUGCAUUCUGAAUUUUUCUCUCACCAAGAAUCUGCUCUAUUUUAUCUUUAUUCAGUAUAAUAUUUGUGAAAAGAUUAUAGUGUGGAUCCUUUUCCAUUUUGGGAGAUGAGCAACAAGCGGGGAGGGGAGCAAGAAAGCUAAAAAAAUUUUAAUAAAAAAAUCUUGGCUUUCUAAAGAUUGGCUGUUUAUGGAACUUCUCUAAUUGAAAUAGGAUUAGAAUUAGUUUAGAAUUAGGGUUUUUUUAAAUUAAGGACUAAAUUACGCCAUUGAAGAAUUGAAGGUUUGAGCCAUUGAAGAAUUAGUGUUUAUUUAAAUUAAGGACUAAAUAGGCUAUCGAAAAAGUUUGAGGGUUUAUUAUAUCUUAAACCAUAACAAAAUACUUGUAUGAGAAAAAAAAUGGUCUUUUUAAUAUAUUUACCAUAAUAUAAAAAAUAAUUAGUAUAAUAUUUUGUAGACACAUGUGACUUUUGUUGGCCCAAGUAAACUGGCAAUUAGUUUUAGGGUAAAUUAUAAAAAUGUCACUUUUGUUGUGUUAUUUUAAUCAUCCAAUCAUUAAUUUUUUUUUCAAUUUAAUCACUAAACCAGUAAAACCCUUUUAAAUUAACAUGGGAUCAUUUUAUUGGUUUAAUAACAAAAUUAGCCCUCCAAUGUUUAUUCAUCUUAUUUAUUUCAUCCUAAAUAUAAAAAAUUUAAUAAAUUUAGUUCUCCAUGUUUACAAAAUUUAGCCCUCUAAUGAUAGGAUGUGCAAAUAUUAUAAGGUUAAUUUUUUUAUUAGACCAAUAAAAAAGUCAUGUCGGAAAAAUUUAGUGACUAGAUAAAAGAGUUAAUAGAUUUGGGCAACGACAUCAAGUUUACCGGCAUAUUGCAUUCUGAGUGGCAACUUGUCAAAGUACAUGGAUGUAAUAACAAUGAGCCUGAUGAACUUGCCAAAGCCGGAAUUCAUACAAUUUUAAUGCUACUUGGAGUCUGUUUAGAGUUAGCGCAUAACUGUGUAAUGGUGAGUUUUGGUUUGGUCCCUUGGUAAGUGCAUUAGGCAAUAGGUAGGGGCCUUUUUUGUAUGAAUCUUUCUUCCUAACUAUUUACCCUUCAAAAUGUAUUAAUAAAUAUAUCAGCUAUCUAUGUAUGCAGGUGUGGAUUGCAGAAGUAUUAAUAAAUAUAAAAAUUCUUGGCUCAGAGCAUACACAAUUUUUGGUGUAGAGUGGUUCUACUUAUAUUUUACUUAUAAAAAAUUCUUUUAAAUAAGCUUCUUAUCAUUAAAAUUUAACUAAAUUAUUUAACAUGUCGACAAAAUUUAGGAUUACAUGUCAGAUCGAAUAUAUUAUAAAUAUCUAAAAUUUGAUUCAAAUGCUUUAAAUAUGCUCAAUGUUAUAUUCAAGCUAGCACUUCACCCCUAAAUUAACAGUUAGCUUGACGAAUAUUAAUAGUUUGGAGGCUCAUUUAGAAAGCUGAGUUUAGCAUCUGGACAAUAGCUUGAGAAUAUCUAUAAGUAAUUAACCCAAGAAAGAAAUAUAUAUGAAAGAACAAUUUGAGCUUCCAGCAUCAUUUACCUAUCCUAAACUAGGACUGUUUUGUUUCCGACCCAGUAAACAAGGAGGUGGAAUUUAAACAACAAGGAAGAGACUAACAAUUGUCCUUUUUUUUCGAGAUUCAGAACUCUAAUCAAAUUCAAUUUAUAAAAUAUAUUUUCCUUUAUUGCUUAAAAUACAAUAUAAAAUAUGAGUUUUAAUUAAGAAUUUAGAACUUCCUAAAGUUUGAUUUAUUAAUAUUUUCUUAAAUACAAUUAGACAUGUAUUAAAUUUCUAAUUGUGUUUAAAUUGUAAGAAAGAAAAAAGAAAAAGAAGUUUUAAUAUUUGGGUGAAAAAUGAACAUAAAAAUAUAGAAAAUCACUUAAAAUUACAAGUAAAGCCUAAGAUAUUAUAUACUGUAUUAAUUAUAAACGUUUCAGAGUUUGAAGUUGACUACAAAAGAUAUACACAAAUAAGAAUUUGAGCUUGAAGCACUUAAAAAGAAAGUGCUUACCAAGUACAAAGGUAUUGUAAUGGAUUCUCUCUAAGAAGAUGGUAUUGGAAACUCAUCCAUGGAGGUUUUGACUCCUAGAAAGGUACAUUUUAGGGAUAAACCUGAAGAGGUGAAUACAAAUAUUAUCAUUGAUACCUUCUAAUUGGAAAGAGAAAUUAAUGGGGCAAUCAUCCAUGGCUAAUAGAAAUGGGCUAGAGGAAGAUGAGGAUUUCGAUCUGAUGGAAGGAGAUAUACAGAAAUCUAUUGUUAAUGUUAUACCUUCAAUAGACUUUUCAGAAAGGAUCCACCAAUUUGCUCACUAAGGACAUGGAAAACACAAUAGUCUUAAAACUCCUUGGGCCAAAAUAUUGGUUACUCUCUUCUACACGGCAAAAUUUACAGCAUUUGGAAGCCACAAUUUCCGUUUAAACUGAUAGACAUUGAGAACGACUAUUUUCUGGCUAAAUUUGAAAACAAAUUUGACCGUGAAAAGGUCCUCUCUGAAGGUCCUUGGACUAUCUUCGGUCACUAAUUGAAAGUACAACUGUGGAGGAUAUCAAAACAAAACUCACUAAAUAUUCACUUUCCAAAAUUUGGUCUCUUUUCAUCUUUUACUCAAUUACGUGCACCGCUUAUAGCUUCAUUGUGGUGGGAACAUGGCAUUCAAAAUCUUUGUACCACUUUAAAAAGCAUCCAAUAAAUUGAGAGCAGACAAGAAUCUAGAAAUAUUUUUAGGGACGGAAUUAAAUAAUAAUUUCUUAAGAAAUUAAAAUAUAAUUUUGUAAUGUAUUAAUUUAUUAUUUUCAUAUUUUUGAAUGAUUAAAUAUAUAUAUUUUAAUUUUAGGGGACUAAAGUACAAUUUUAAUAUAAAUUAAAUUUUAAUUUAGUCAUCUUAUAGAGAUUAAAAUAGUAAUUUUCCAUUUUAAUUUAUUAUUAUUUUUAAAAAAAUUGAACUAAAAUGAUAACUUUUCUAAAUAUUAAUAGCUAAAUUUGUUGAAUUUUUAAUAUUCAAGAUCAAAUGAUAGAAUGUGUAAAUAUUAGAGGGUUAAUUUUAUUAGACCAACAAAAAAAAAACCCACAUCAAUUUUGAGUAACUAAAUAAUAAUAAUAAUAAUAAUUGAGUAACAAACAUAAUUGGGUGAAAUUUUUAUAGUUUACCAUUAGUUUUACAAUGCAAACAUGAAUUACAUUUUAUUCUAGACUAGUUUUAUUUAGUGUUGUUAUUUUUUAGCUGGAAGCAACAAAUUUCAUGAUUUCAAAGCUAAGAUAUUUUUCACGGUAAUGAAGAAUAUGAUAAAAUUAUCGACUAAGAGUCAAAUUGCAUUUUGUCUCAUUUACUAAAAAAAUAGGUAAAUUAGUCUUUAUAUAUUAGAACAAUGAGAAAAUUUGUCAUUAUAUUAAAAAAUAAAUUCAUUUCUACAGUUAAAAAUAUGUCCUUGUACGUUAGAAUGUGGUACAUGUGGCACAUCACAUGCAACUAUUUGGUUAUUCUAUCAGUCAUGCCAGUAUUUAUUAGUAAAAAUGGAUAAAGUUUUUAACAAAAAGAACUAAUUUGCUCUAAUUUAACCUAUAAAGACUAAUUUAUCUAUUUUUUAAUAAAAGAAACAAAAUACAAUCAGACUCUUAAUAUUAGAGCCUCCAUGAUGUUUUUACUUGAAGAAGAUCUACAAUUGGAGAGAUUAUGGACCAUCAUCAUAUUUUUAUCUAAUAUUAUCUAAGCAUUCAUAAAGGCUAUUGAUAUGGAACGAAAAUCAAGUGAUUUGAUUUGAUCAUACUAGUUAGACUUACAUUAUUAGGUAUGGAAUUUGGAUUGCACUUAUUUGUUCAUUGUGAGGAAUUUUUGAAGUUUAUAUUAUUGUAUAAUCAAACUAUUUUAACAAUUUAUACUAAGCUUUUAUCGAAGAAAGCCUUAAUUUUGAGGAAAAUUUGUCAGUUACAUCCUUUUAAAAUUUAUAAAAUUUUAAAUUAGUAAUAGAAAAUUUUUUUUGGUCCUCUCAAAAAUAAAAAUAAAAUUAAUUUAAUCCUUUAAAAAUUAUAAAAUAUAGAUUAUUAAAAUGGUGAAAUUACAUUUUUACUAUCGUAAAAGUAUAUAAUUUAAUAUCGACCUAAAAAAUUUUUAAUUUCGCCCUGUUGGAUUAUGAAUAGAUGAACUCUUUUUAUUGCCAAUUACGCCUACUUCUAGAAAAAAAAUUACGUUUACAUUUGAUUUUUCUUUCUUAGAAAGGUACCGAUAGUAUUUUAUUAUGCAAAAGCUUAAAGGCAAUGGCUCUGACACAAAGAACAUCACAUUAAAAAACUUUUGAAUAAACUUAUGACAUGAUGAUUAAGAAUGUUUAUCAUAUUAAGUGUGACUUGAAUUCGAGUUAUACUAAUUGCAUUUAUUAUUCGAACUUUGUCAUGUUAUUGUAAUUCAUCAAAAAAAAUUCUUUGAACCACCUUAAGACAAUGGAAAGAUCACAUUGUGGGCAGCGUAAAUGAUUAGGGACUAUAAUUAGUACCAUAUUUGAUUAAACAAUUUGAAAGUAUUGUUUUACUUUGUUUGUUAAAAAAAAGUUGGAAUAGAUGUCUUGUUUUUAUAAACUAUCAUGUCAUGUAAAUGGUUUGUGACAACGUAAGAAAUAAUAUAAUGUUUUAUUGUGUUUGGUUAUAGUAUUGAAAAGGAAGAAUGAUAUAUCACUUAUGUUUAUAAAAAAUAAAAUAAAAUAAUUAAAAAAUGAAUUUAGAUAAAGUGAUAUUUAGAUUUGAGUCAUUUAUUUUUGUUGGUUUUUAAACUUGAAAUGCUUUUGAUAAAUUUAUAUAUUAUUAAAAUAUAUAUUUUUAUUUUAAUAUAAUAAUAUAAAAAACUUGAUAUUUUAUAGUAAAAAAUAAAAAAAAUUACUUAAAAAACACAUUCACAAUGAAUCUGAAUAAAUUGAAGUUGAAGUGCUUUUGAAUCUAGAUAAAAGUUUGUUUAGAUUCAUUCUUAAUAUUAAAUAGUUUAUAAAUUUAUAUGUUCAUAAUUAAUUUAGACAAAAUAAAGUUAAUUAAAAUGAGAUGGAAUCCAAAUUCAAAUACCAAUUAAAUCUUAAAAAUAAAAUAAAAAAUUAUGUGAUCAAAAAAAUAAAAAGUUUAAAUAUGAUAAAGAGUCCAUUAACCCAAAUAACAAUCUGAGCUAGAAGCAGGAUUCAGCUUUGAUACUUGAAUCUUUUAGAUGGUUGCACCUCUGCCUCCUCCUUUGCAAAUGAUAUAUGAACUCCGCAAUGCUUUACCUCACAACAAAUGUUUUCAGACCCAUCCCAAUUGAUAAGGAGAGGGUAGAAUUUAAACCAGGCUUCAUUAUACAUACCCUUGUUUGAUGCCAGAGUUUCAACAAGCCACCCACCUUCAGCAUCGUCAUCACAGAAACAAGUUUUAUAUAAGAGGAACAAGUGAUCCGACCCAAUCAAUUCGCUUCCAGGGAUUCGUUCCCUCCAAGUUAAGAAAGAACAACUAAGGUCAUGACAGUCGCCAUUACGGGACUUUAGACGACAUUUACAUCUAAUGCGAAUUUCUCUGACGCCAGAAUAUUCUUGGAAAGAAACAACAGUGGAAACAACGAAAGUUGGAAAGUUUUUGCUGCUAUUGUAGUACCACUCUGAAGGCAAUUGGAUGUUUAUGGAAGAUCCUGAGCUUUUAAAAUCAAACCAUUCCGGGAUCUCACUUCCAGGGACACAUGUAAUCACCUUGUUUAUUUUAGGGAAUUCCUGUUCAGUUACAAUUAUUAGAAACAUGAUCGAUUAUUCAGCAUAUAAACCAUUUGCCACAUUUAAGAUAUAUGAAGAAGAAGAAGAAGAAGAAGAAGAAGAAGAAGCUGACCUGAUGAUAAUCCUUUAGUAAAGUCACCAUAUGUCCAAAUAGCAUCUGCAACUUUGGUGUUCUAGUAUUUCGCACAGCUUUCUGAUCCAGUUGGAAGCAAUUGCUAAAUAUCCACUCCAAGAAUCCAUAUGGUCUAUCCUUACAAAGCACUGCUUGCUCAAAAAGCUUUUUAAUGCUUGAGACUUCCUCUAGUGAAGUGCAGUCAUGUGCAUCUAAAUGUUUCAGGCUUGGUGGAAGCUCAGGUAAUGAUUUCAGUCUCUUGCAUUUCCUCAAGAUUAACUGCUUCAACCUAGGAAGUUGUUUAAUGCUUGUCGGUAAGUUCUCAAGAUUGCUUCCACUUAAAUCUAAAUUUUCUAAUGAGGAUAACCCAUGGAGAUCUCUCUGCAUCUCUGUUAAAGAAGCUCCUCCAAUGGCAGAAAACAAGUUAUCAGGCCAUGUGACUAGAUUUGAACAUCCAUAGAGAGAAAGAAACUUAAGAGAUUUCAAUUUAUAAAAGUUGUCAGGAAGGCAAGCAAGGUUUUCACAGUUGUUCAGUCUCAAUUCCACAAGACCAAUAAGAUUCUCCAUCGAGGAUGAUAAUUCCUUAAGAGCCGUUCCACUUAAAUCAAGAAAUCUCAAUCUUUCCAUGGUGUCCAAGAUUUCUGGGAAAAUCUCCAAUCUUGAGCAAUCAUGAAGAUAGAAUGUCUUUAGAGAUUUCAAUUUAUGAACACUUGUGGAGACAAUUUUAAGCCUCCUACAACAACUUAGAUUGAGUACACGAAGAUUAGAUAAACAUUCGAUCGACGAAGGCACUUCUUCAAUUGCAGUUCCUCCUAAAUUUAACUCUGUUAUAUUUCCUGAAAUCUCCGGAAAUGUUGUGAUAUUAGGGCUGCCAUUGAGCGAAAAAACUUCCAGGGAUCUUAGACUACAAAUUGCAGUUGGAAAGUUAUUCAGCCUUACACAAUCUUCCAUAGACAGUAAAACGAGUUGGGAAAGAGACUCCAUUGAUGAAGGUACUUGUUCAAUCGUUGUUCCUUCUAAAUGUAGCUCUCUUAGAUUCGAUGAAACCUCUGGAAAGCUAAAGAGAAUAGAGCAGUCACUCAGAAUAAGGGUGGUGAGGGAUGUCGCUUUAUACAAGCUAGGCAGAAAUCUAAGAUUUUUGCACAUUCUCAAAUUCAAACGAGUUAGCUUCUCAAGAUGUUGAAGGGAAGAAGGAAGCUCAAGCAACUUUGUACAGUUUACAAGGUUCAUAGUUUCAAGAUUUGUGGCGCUUGAGAGGUCUGCGAUUUUUACAAGGUUCUCGGAAUGGUUGAGAGUCAUCACCUUCAAGUUUACUAAAUCCUGCACGCAUCACAACAUAUUGUUUUAUGAAUUUGUGUACAUUGAAUAACUAUAAUAUAACAGAUGUGACCAAAAUAUCAACAAAGUGCAACAAAGACUAACCUAUAUUCCUAAUGGUAUAUAUUAAGGGGUAAUUGAGUUCAAGAACUAAGAAGUUAGAGCUGGCUCGAACUCAUGGCUCAAAUUUAAAAUAAAUAUUUAAAAUAAAGAAUGACCUAAAAAUUACUCGAGCCAAGUAUUAAGAUACUAAAAUUUGUUGGAACAUUUUCAACAAUAUUUACAGUGUUUUAAUAACUAUAAAUGAAAUGGUAUAAUUAAUCAAAAGUUAUAUCCUUUUGGUUAUUGAAAAAGAAGUAUUAACUAUUCAAACAAUAUUGUUUAAAUAGUUAUGUUUAAUCAAAGGAUAUUAAAUGAAUAAUUAUGUCACUUUUAAAUAUAUUAUUAUUCAGAAAAGACAUUUAUUGAAAGAUAUCUCUAUCAAAAGAUAUAAAAAUUCCUAUAAAUAGAUAUUAGAUUUCAUUUGAAAAUCACACCAACAAAUUCUAAAAAAUCUUUCUAUCCUUCCUUUAUUUUCUAAUAUUAUUAGAUUAUUCUAUAAAGUGUUACUGUAGAAAUUUUUUGUAAAAAAUGAGUUUCUUAUUAUAGAUUGCUCAAUGCUUAGUGAACUAUUCUCGUCACUGUAAAAAACAAAUAGUCAUCGAGCUUUAUUGUAUCCUUGAUAUUCAUUUGUUUGAAACUCAUUUGCACACCAAAUAUAAGAGGGAUGAAUAGAAUCUUAAAGAUAGUGGCUUGAUAUACAACUUGGAGCCUUAUUAUAUUUCUUCAUUCUCUGUUUGAGUUUCGUUCAUGUGUUAGAAAUUUUUCUCACCAAAAUUUUGUUACUAACAAAAUUUGAGUUGCUCAAUAAAUCAAGCACAACUAAAUCUUAGAUCAACAAUAACUUAACUAAAUUAGAUUUCUUUUAAAAAGAAAACCCUAAUGACUUAGGAAUACAAAUGUUUUGUAAUUUUCUUUUCCCUAUAAAAAGAAAAAAAAAAAACUAUAAACAAACACUAGCCGUAUAGGAAAUGAUUUUCUUCCUAUGUUAUUAUGAAAACAAAACAAAGGCAUAGAUUGAUUUGUAGACGCAACUUUAUAGAAUCAAAAAACAACAAUGAAAUAGCUCCAAACAUGCUUGAAUGAAUCUACAAAAACAUCAUAAAGAAUGAGGCAUAGAUUGAUAUAUAUAUAUAUAAGUACCUGUUUUCCCUCCCAUAGUUUUUCAACAUGGCUAAAACUCAUAUCAAGUUCAACUAGGUUCCUUGGAUGAAAUUUGGUGGGCAAAGUUUUCGAAGGGUACCCCUCCCAACAGAGGUACCUUAGCUCAUCAGGAAGUGAUAAAAGCCCAUGAGGAAGUAAGAUUUUGGAAUUUGUUCCGCAAGAAUGAUAGAAUUUGAGGAAUUUAAGUUUUCGCAUCUUCACAAAUGCUUCUGGUUUUAAUUCCAACUCUGAAAUUCUGGACAUGUCAAGAAGCAUGCUUUUGAGUGUUUUUGCCCCCUAAAUCAAAAGUAGUAUAUCAGAUUAAGGAGUAAAAAUAUAUGAAAAAUAAGAACUAUAUUAUUUGAACUCCAGAUAUGUAUAAAUAUCCUAUAAAAGUAUGUCUUCUAAUGUGUCAAAUAUGACGGUCGAACAUGGACAUGCUCAAAGAAAAUGAACAAGGCCCUUACAGUGUUUUCAAUUAGUACAUCGUAGAUGUCAUUUGAAAUCCAUAAUCUACUGCGUCUUUUAGGCUCUAAAGGUGAUUCCUUGCAAACGACAUUCCAACCCAUUUGCUGCAAUAAAUCAUGCAUUGCUAAUUGAUUUUGUGAAACAUAUAUAAGAGAUCUAUCGAUGAGGUUCUCAAUUCCUGAAUGUGCAGAGACAUAACAAGCAUCCAUAAUCCUUGUUACAUAGUCUCGGUUUUCCCCUUUAAAGAAACAAGCAAUGUCAAGAAAUAUAUCCUUCUCUUCACAAUCUAGUGCAUCAAAACUGCAUAUCAACAAUUUAUGAAUGUCUGGAUUAGGAACCUGCUUUAGUUUCUUUACCGUGCUUUCCUGGUAGGUUUUUUCCUUUCCAUAAAGAGAGGAUCCAAAAACUUUUAUAGCCAAGGGGUUUCCAUCAGCAACACUUAAAACCAUCUUUGAUAACUCCAACCGAUAUCGCGUGGGAUAAUUGCUUUUGAAGGCACGUUGACAGAAGAGCUGAAGAGAUUCACCUUCAUCUAAUUUCUCCAUUUCAUAAAUGCGAUCAAUGUCAUUCUGAAUAAGCACUUGCUUAUUUCUAGUCGUAACGAUGACUCGACUUCCAGGGCAAAGCUGAUUAAUCCCUUUGAACAAAAACUCAAAUUGGCUUAAGUUUGACACAUCAUCACAAACUAUCAAAACCAUUUUUCUAGAAAGCCUGUCCUUAAGAAAGCCUGCUCCGAUUGUGGGAGUUGAAAUAUUUAAAUUUCCAUCUUCCAUUAUGGUUGAAAGAAAUUCCUGACGCAAUUGGAAUAAUCUUCCAUGUUCUUCCGAUUCUCUCACGUUUGCAAGAAAGUAGCAGCUUUGGAAACCAUUUGAAAUAUGGUGAAAAACCGCUUCGGCAAGUGUAGUUUUGCCGGUACCUCCCAUGCCCCAAAUACCUAACCUUCGCACAUCUGGAAAUCCAACUUGAAUUAGUGAUAUAACUUGCUCCAUCCGCCUCUCAAUUCCAACUAAACCCUUUAAAUAAGCAUUUGAGGUUCCACGAUUCAGUUUCUUCAAUAUGUCGUUGACAAUUUCAUCUAUGAGUCUUGACUCGGGCCUAUAUAUUAAAUAAAGAAACAAAUUAUAAUUUCACCUUCAAGAGUACAACUUUUUCCUUUGAAAAUAAGUAGAUAUUGAUUAGUGAACUGAUGCAUCAGAGCAUAGCAUUCAAAAUUUCAGCAUCGGCAACCUUUCUACGUUCUCAAAGUACAAAUAACUUUUUCCUUUGAAAAUAAGUAGUUAUUCAAAAAGUAUAAAAUGAAUCAUUGAUUAAAGAAAAAAGGAGUUAGUCUGAAUCUCUCUGUUCCCAAAUCAAUAUAUAUAAUAUAAAGAAAAAAAAGGAUUAACCGUUAACGAAAAGGAGAUGCAAUUACCGAGUGACUUGUGAAUCCCAACCGGCUAAUUUGCCAGCUGCAGUCAAAGCACUUCUCCAGCUUUUCACCUUUUCAGGCUCAUGCUUGAAAUUUUCUUCAUGCUUUGCAAAUGCUUCUGCAAAACUCCCUGUUUGGUUCCGUACAUCCCCUGGGUCUACACUGUAAAAUACAGGAACAACCCAUUUGUUGCAGUCCAUGAUCUUGACCAGCUCAGCCAAGCACCAUUUGGAAGAAGCGUAGUCUUUGGAGAAAACAAUGACUGAAACCCUGGAUCCUUGAAUGGCCGUCAACAAUGCCUCUGAAAUUUCAUCUCCUCUUCGAAGCUUUUCGCUGUCUAUAAAAGUUUCGAUAUUCUUUCGAGACAAAUGUUUAUACAGAUGACUCACGAAACCAUCACGGGUAUCCUGGCCUCUGAAGCUAAGGAAAACAUCGUAUGUCCUUGCUUGGAUCAUAUCAGCAGCAGUAGCAGAAGAAGAAGAAGAAGAAGAUCCAGAAGCAAGCAUAUCGGUGUUCCACCGGAUUUGAUGAAAGAUUUUUGAAUUAUGAGUAAAGGUAUUGUUUUUUGAGUGAAUUACCCUUAGAAACUUGUAGGCAGAGUACUACUUUACACUGUACAUCCACUGCAAAAAUAAAGUUGACCCUUCCUUACAACUUACAAGUUAAGUAAAAAAAAAAACAUUUUUUGAUACAAUUUUUUAAAUAUUAUAUUAUUUUUAUGUCAAAUGAUAUUUAAAAAUUAAAAAUAAAGUUGAGAAAAAAACAUUUAAAAGCCUAAAUCAAUAAUUAAUGAGUUUUAACUUGUUAGAGUUGUGUGACCUAAAUUUUAAGAGAUUGCUUAUAAGUUAAGUUAAACAAACAUAUAUUUUCUUUCUAGAAGAUUUAGUAUUUAUUAGUAUAAUAUAUUAAGUAUUUAUUAGCAUAAUUUAUUUGACUUACUAAUUUAGCCUAUAAAUAGACUCUUUUACAAUCUUAGAAAAAUACACCAAUUAAACUAGAACUCAUAACACAUUUAGAGAAUUUUCUAUUUACGUUUUCAGCAUUCAUUAUUUUUCGGGGUUUAGCUUUUAUCUCCAUCUUUUGUACUCUUUGUUCUUUUGUCAUUAUAGUAAAAUUAUCUUUGCCCCUGGUUUUUUAUCCUCUUUGGAGGGGUUUGUUCACAUUAAAUUUGUGUGUUCAACUUCUCAAUUUCUUCUACUAUUUUUACUUGUUCGUUGCUUAAUCGGGACGAUCCUAACAUAAAAAAUAUAUUUUGAUUAAUGAAUUGGUUUAUUUCAUAAUAAUUUUUAUUUUAAUAUCUCAAUUUUAUUCCUACUUUACUCGUGUUAAUUUUAUUUACACAUUAUAUUUAUCACAUAGUGUUUUUUUUAAGAAUAUAAUGUUUAUUUAUAUAAAUUUUUAUACUACAUCAAAUAAAAUCAUUUAUAUUAUAUAAAAAAAAAGAAUAGUAGCAUAUAUGAAAAUUUUAAGUUCUUCAAUAGCUGUUUAAAUUUCAAAAUACUUUCUUUUUCUAUUUAUAUUUAAAAUGAGUUUUUUUUUAAAUAAGUUUUAAAUUAUAUAUCAUCAAAUUUAUUGCAUAUUUUAUAUUAAAAUCAUCAAAUCAAAAUCAAUAUUUAUAAUACAUAUAUACGUAUAUUGGUUUCCUAAAAUAUAGCAAAAUUAUCAAUAUCUGUUGAAAAAAAUUUUGAGAAACUAAUCUAUUUUAUUUUUUAAAAUUUAUCGAUCUACAUUAUUUUUGGAGGGAGAAAGGAAAAUGCGACCUACAAGGCAUAUUUUCACUGAUCUGGCAGAGAAAGCGUGCACUGUAAGACGCGGUUUCUUCUCAUCCAAAAAACGCGUCCUACGUGGUGCAUUUUCACUACUAGUUCAGUGAAAAUGUGCCUUGUAGGACACGUUUUCUGUCCAACGAAUUUUUUCUCGUUUUGAAAUUAAAAAUUUGUAAAUUUAUCCGGCAUUUGAGAUAGACAUUGUUAUAGUUCUAAGAUAUGUUCGAAUUGCCUAAAUUUGUUUUCACUGUAAAUUUGUUUUCACUGUAAAAGACACACACACUUACACAAACCAUAUACAACAUUAAUUUACUAAAUUUUCAUUUAAAUCCUUCAAGAAUUACAAUGUUUGUAGCAUGACCCAAAUUAUUCAAAAUCCUUAAUUUAAAAACUUAUGUACAUUGGUGUGUCAUUGAAAGCACCAAAAAUAAUAUAUCCCUAUGAAAUAACGAAAAGAAUAGUAUAAGUGAAGUAAGGUCAAAUCCUCAGGGACUGAAUUGUUACAACUUCUUAUUCCUCAAAAUCCUGGGCAUAAUCGUGCCUAAGAAAAUCUGCGUACCUGGAAAAAAAAGAAUUAAAAAUAUGGACGAGUUGAAAUUGUGUAAAUUGAAAUUGUAAUUGUAAAAAGAAACAGAAUUGAGAAACGAGAUUCUUCGAUUUGAGGGUUUCUAGCCCCCAGUUAUCUCGAUCCUUAUUGGGUUCAAUCCUAGGCUUUUAAGUGAUCCUUCUCAUGAAAGAAUAAGCCAGUUAUAGUGGAAGAGGACACCUACGACCACCAGCUACAUCUAGAUUUUAGACUUACGAUUUAGAGGAAGCUGACUCUAGCCAACCGUCACUUUCGUGGGACCGUCUUACACUAGAUCAUUGUUUCUCAAUAGCGAAUGCCACGCUAUUUCGUCUCUUGGGCUCGACAACCUUUGAUGCUGUAAGUUAACGAAUAGACUGUGCCACCUUCCUAAAGCAUACAAAGCUGCUGCCUUUGCACAAUAUGAAAAGAUCACUUUUGCAAGGAUAUGGACGGAAGCAUCAGUCGCGUAAUGCGAAGAAACGAUGAAUACUCGUUGAGAAGGCUAAGGGCUAGUUUGGCAAUGCUUUUGAAAAGUGUUUUUGAAAAGUGCUGUGAAAAAGUGUUUUUGAAAAGUUUGGUUUAAAAUUUGAGUGUUUAGCAUUGCUAUCAAAAAGUACUUUUGAGAAAUAAAAUGUUUAUUUUAGACAUGUUAUUAUCAAGUAACAAAUAUGCAUUUAAAUAAUAUUUAUAUUAGUUAAUAUUAUUAUAUUUUAGUAAGAAUAUAAAAAAAUUAUUAUAACUUGUUGUUAAUAUUUUAAUAUAUGAAAUAUAAAUUUUAAAUAUUUUUAAGCAAUAAAUAUUAAUUAUUUAUAAAAUUUAGUUAGAAUAUAUAAACUAUAUUUUAAAUAUUUAAAUAUAACCAUUAAAUAUUUAUAAUUAGUAUUUUAAAAAAUAUUUUUUAUUUUUAAUUAAUGAUUUUAACAGAUUUGUAAUUAAGCACCAAGAAAAAAAAAGGAAAGUACUAUGUUAAUGGAGAGGUGAAAAAGUAAUUAAGCACCAAAAGUGCUUUUAGUAAAGGAAAAGCUAAAAUUUUUAGCUUCUCCUUUUCAGAAGUGCUUUUGAAAAGCACUUUUGAAAAGCGAAAAAUUCCAGCCAAAAGCAGCUUGUUCUGCACAACUUUUCUUCCAAAAGUGCUUUUAGAGUCAGAAGUACUUUUUUUAAGCAAUGAAGAACAUGCCCUAAGUGCAGGUUCUAAGCCUCAUGAACCUUUUUUUGGGAACUCGACAACCUUUGGCUAGAUAAGUUUAGUGGCUUAUGUUUUUCGAGAAAAAAGAAAUAAGUUUAAUGAAAUUUUAUUGAAAAAUAAAAGGAACAAAAAGCUAAGAGCUUUAGGGAGAGGGAGUUUUCACAGAAAAGAUGAGUGAAUAUUUAUGUCACUCCAUUCCCUAUUUAUAGUAUACAAAAAAACCUAGUUUAUUCCUAUUUAAACUCUAAAAAUUAAAUAAAAAUACAAGCUGAAAUUAAAUCUAAAUAAUAAUCCUACCAAUAAUCGUAUUAAAAUUUAAAUUUAAAUAGAGUCUUAUGUUUAUAAAUCUCUUCUUUGACACUUUGUAUUUUCGGCGCCACUUAUUUAUUAUUUCACAUGUUGACCCAAUUUGUCUUUAAAUUCUAGCUUUUCGCCCCUAAUUUUUUUUUCCUUCAAUUUAGUCCUUACAAGAUAAAAAAAAACCACAAACAGCCCAAAUUAGUAGCAUCAUGCUUAAAAAAUAUAUAUAUAUAUAUAAUUAAUACAUAAAAAUAUGUCAUUUCAAAGUAUUAUCAUAGAUGCAUCCCAAUUGUAGUGAACAAGAUAUGUAUAUUUUAAAUAAGUUUACAUUACGAAUGUAAAACAAAGUAAACAACUUCAAAAAAUUACAAAUAGACAUAAUCACCAAUCCUUCAAAUGUGUGUCACAACCGGGUACACUUAGGGUUCUGUCACAUUGUUUAGGUUGACGACUCCACUGGGACUUCGGCCUGGUCUUCAUGUAUAGUAACAAGUUGAUCUUCGGCCUUGUCUUUAUGUAUGCGUCGGGGUUAAUUAGUGACCUCAUCUCCUCCCUUCAUUGAUGAAUGCGACUGUGUCUUAGCUGACCGCAGUGCAUCCCCCUAGUCAAGUUGAUGUUUGAGGGGACGACCCAACUUGAAAGAAAAAUGAUGUUGGAGGUGUUUGUAACAUUAUCGGUGGGACAUUAUAUGGUGUUGCAUGGGGCGUGUAAUAUAAUGUGGGGGUUGGCGAUCGUGAAAAAAAUAUCCCUGGAAACGGUGUUAGUACAGGGAAUGAUUAUGCGUGUUGUGGUGCUUGUGUAAAAUAAAUAGGUAAUUAUUGUAUUGGUGCAGGGAAUGAAUGUGUAUGCUAUGGUGCUAAUGUAAAAUAAACGGGUAUAUGUUGUGAUGAUGGUGUAAAAUUAAAUGGGUUAGUGACAGGAAUAAAUGAACCAUAUUGUACAAGAGGUUACACGGGAAUCGGGUUCGCGUAUGCAUGUGGAGCAGAUGUUAACCCAUCAAUAGCAUGUCCUCCCGACCUAUGAUUAAUGGGCCCUCGUCUUGGCAUUCUAUGACAAUGUUCCUUACUUUUUUCUACACCUGAUAGUAGAUGCAGCUUCCUCUGACUGAAUCAAUCCAUGUAAUCCGAAGAAGUCGCCAACUCUGACAUCAAAUACAGUUCAUGCGCUAGAAAAUAAUCUUACCUGUGCUGCGACAUCUCAAUAUACUUCUUAUGGAAUGUUGUCUAAUCUUCAUCCAGUCUCCUCCGUAUGUCGAGCUCCUGAGGUUGUGGCAGAAUACGUUGCAUACACCCAAACUGCAGCAUCACUUGAUUGGAUUUGUGCAUCUUAACCGUUAAAAAAAUUACCAAUGGUACUUUCACGUGCUAGAUGCUACAAGUCACCAAAAAUUCCUCUUGAACGGACUCUUGAAUCCUUGUAUCCACAUAUAGCAUCCAUACGAAUUACGUAUGAAUUUAUAAAUUUCAGUAAGUGUCUAAUAUGUAAUUUCAAACGGUGGAAUAACAAACUGAUAACUAUGAAAUUCAUAAACUAACCUCCUCCUCAGUUUCUUGAUUUAAAUCUAGUAGGAUGUCCCCGAACUCGGUCGAUAUACCGAUGUGGCUUACGGGGUUGUUCCGCCUAUUCAAAAAAUAUGUUAUUUCAAAAUUACAACAAUAAAAAUUCCAAAACAGUAACAAUAUUAUGAAAUGAAUUUUACCAUGUUACAAGUGAGAAUUCGUAAGGGAAUUGCACUCGGCGGCGUAGAAACGGUAGUUGAUACCAUGCCUACGAUUGAAGAAAGAGCAUACAACUGCCUAUUUUAGCUUUUUUUGGUAUUGUCGCUUGACACAUUUCUUGGUACAAUGUCGCCAGCACUAUGGAUCCCCAACUAAGUUGUCUCGCUUCUCUCAAGUCGGUAGUAGUAGUAGUGUAACGCCCUAAAAUUUUUGUUUUUGUUUUUAUUUCUGUUAAAAUGUGCACAAAAUAUGUAUCUACUUCAGUGGUUAAGUGUUCUAGGUAUGUGUGAGAGGUCCCAAGCUCAAGCUUUACCUUUGGAAAAUUUUGAUAAUUUUCUUAUCUAAGCCUUGUGUAUGGGGAGUAGGCUUAUAUUUAAUUAUUGGUAGAAUCAUAUCAGAAUGGGCCUGUUGGUCUGGUGGUUAGGUUGGGUGUUAGUUGGCUAGAGGUCUUGUGUUUGAAUUCCUACACGAGCGUGGGUAUUAUUUUUACUCAGUUAUUAGACAGAAUUUCAGUUGAACUAAAAGUCGAAGGAGUAGAUUAGUGGGAAAAAAUCAAGGGAUGUGAUCAUAUUUUAUUUAGACUUUUAUUUUUAUUUUUAAUUUCCUCGAAUAUUUUCCAUCUUUUGACGUUUUGCUUCUCCUUUCCCCACUGAAAUUUCUAUGCUUUUUCCCCUCUUCUUCGGUUGUCCGAAUUGUUUCCUCUUUGUUCAACUGUUAUGUGCACUCGCCGAUAAGUAACUAUUUUUCAUCUAUCUCUUUUUUUCGUAGAUAGUUUUUUAAAAGAGGUUUGUGUUUGGUUCUCUUGGAUUAGGCGAAGGUUAAGAUUUCGAGGGUACUCUUGCAGCGAUUUGAGCGUUAAAGGUUUUUGUUUGCUAUCGGUAAGUUUAUUAAUACGUUAUUGAUGUUGUGAGUUCAUAUUCGUGGAAUUUUUCCGUUAAGGUUUCGAAGAUGUUACUGAAAUUGAGUGUUAUUAUGACAAUAUUUAGGCUUUAAAAGGCUCAAGAGUGAUCUCGCAUCGAAUUGAUACCAGUGUAUACCUGAAAACGCAAAAAAUAAGAUUCGACGAAAGCUGAAAAACCUCACUGUCGACGCCACAUGGGCGUAUAGGGUAGGCCGUGUGCGACAACACUUUGUGUGAUCGACGAAGGCCAGGUCGUGCGCAGGACACGGCCGUGUGAUGGUCGAGGUAUGGUUGUGUGGGCCAUACGGGCUAAAUUGACCUGGGUGUGUAGGCCCAUACGGGUAGUCCACACAGGCGUAUAAAUUUUGGGCCAGGCCAUGUGAUCCACACGGGCUAAGGCCAAUCUAGGCGUAUGGGCCACACGGGCGUGUAGGCCCACAGGGGUAAACUACAUAGCCGUGUAAGCCCAUUUAGCUAAAAUGUUUCCUAGGGUUGCACGGGUCACCCGAGUCGAUUGUAAACCUACUUUAGGGUUAGUAAGUGCUACUUAGACCCUAAAUCGUUGAACUGAGCAUACAAUGUAUGUAUUCAGCAUGCUAAAUUUAUGCAUGUUUACUGAUCUAUAUGUAUGACUGAUAACUGAAUAUUAUCAUAUAAGUAUGUACUUCUGUAUAUCUACAUUGAGCAUGUUUAGUUGCAUCUGCAUUAGAGUGGGAUGGUUGAUUAUUGGAGGAAUUGUACUGAAAGGCUUUCAUGCUUAUUAUCUGGCAGCUCAGCUGCAAUAUUACUGAUAAGUGCCGCAUUCAGUACGACUUGGAGUGUAGGGCUGGGUGGGUGUUUUAAACCCCACAUGGUGUAUAGGUGAUGCGGUCGUUGGAAGCACCAAAAAUAUCCUAUCCCUAAUAAAUAAUGAAAAGAAUAGUAAAAGGGAAGUAGGGUCAAAUCCUCAGGGACUGGACUUGCAAAAUAUCUUGUUCCGUGAUAUCCCAGGCAGAGUCUUGCCCAAGACAACCUGCGUUCCUGAAAAAAAUAAAAACAAUAGCAGAAUUAAAUUGUUGGAUCUAGAAACGAAAAAUAAAAUAAAAACAGAAUUAAGAAUAUUUAAUUGAAAAUUCGAAAAAUUAAAAAUAAAGUUAAGAGAAAGAAAAUUCUUAUGGGAGAUUCCAGCCUCCAGUUGUCUUGUUCCGCCUUGGGUUCAAUCAUCGGCUUUUAGAUGAUCCUUCCCAAACCAAAUAAGCCAGUUAUAGUGGAAGAGGACGCCUACUACCACCAGCUCCAAUGAUUUAGACUACGAUUUGGUGGAACCUGACUCUAGCUAACAAUCGCUUCUGUGGGAUCGUCUUAUGCUAGAUCAACGCUUCUCAAUGGCGAAUCCCACGCCAUUUUGUCUCUUGGGCUCGCCAACCUCUGACGCAGUAAGCUAACGAACCGACUGUGCAACCUUCCCAAAACAUACAAAGCGGCCGCCUUUGCAUAUGUUGAAAAACUUACUUCUUAAGGGACUUGGACGGAAGCGUCAGCCCCGUAGUGCGGAGAAACGAUGAAUACUCAGCGAGAAGGCUAAGUACGGAUUCUUAGCCUCAAGAACCUUUUUGGGGAUUUUUGACAACCUUCGGCUAGAUGGGUUUAGUGGCUCAUGGUUGUGGUAGAAAAGAAAAUAAAUAAAAUAAAAAUAAAGAUUUUUUUGAAAAGAAAUAUGAAAAGAACAAAAGCCUAGACUUUUGGGGAGAGAGUGUUUACAGAAAAAGAAAAGAUGGGCUCCCCUUUUGAGUCACUUCACCCCCUAUUUAUAGUGCUAGGGGAGAUAUUCUAAUUCUACUUAAAUUCCUAAAAGAUAAAUACAUUUAAUUGAAGAUAUAUAAAGAUAAAAUAAAAUCCUAAAAAUAAUCCUUAAUAAUUAUCUCAAUAUUAAUUAUCCUAAUAUAAUUAAAAUAGAGUUUAAUAAAAUAAAAUCUCUUCUUUUUGCAUUUCAACCCUUGUGUCCUCCAUGCUUGCACUUUUGGCACCAACUUUUCCUUGUGUCGCACAUUGGCCCAUUUUAUCUCUAAAUUCACGCUUUUGGCCCUUAAUUUCACUUUUGCCUCAAAUUUAGUCCCUAUGAGAUAAAAGAUCAUAAAUAGCUCAAAUUAGCAGGAUCAUACUCAGAAUAAAUACAUAAUUAAUACAUAAAAAUACGUUAUUCUAGAGUGUUAUCAAAUCCCCCCUACUUAGCCCAUGCUUGCCCUCAAGUAUGGUUCCUAUCUACUGUGAAAGUUAGAUUCUGCCAUAAAAGAAAUACAACUCCAAAGUUUUAUAAAAAUCAGUCAAAAAUGCAUAUGAAAAAUAAAGAGAACCCUAAGCUUGCUUUAAGUAAAACAGAAAAAGAUUUCCAAUUAAUACACGCAAAAAUUAGAAUCAACUUGAAUUAUUUAAUGAAAAUUAGGUAAAUUACCAAACCUACCAAGACACCCUAUUUGUUUCCUCCUUUAGUCCCCAAAUUAUUUUUUUUCUUUUUUUUUUGCUUUUUUUUGUGUUUUUUUGUUAUGCUUUAGGAAUAUACUGAACCUUUUGACGCGAAGAGAGAUGACAGCCAAGCACCCCACCCCGGUUACUCAGCCCAGCAAACUCCUAAUUUAUUAUAAUUUUUCUUAAGAACACAUCAAACCUUUUGACGCGAAGAAAGAUGACAGCCAAGCACCCCUCCCCGGUUACUCAGCCCAACAUGUUCUUAAAAAUUAAUUCCGGUUAGCGGAGUUUUACCUAACACGUCACACAACCUUUUGACGCGAAAUAGGAUGACAACCCAAGCACCCUACCCCGGUUACUCAGUCAGUCACAUUUUUAAGCUGCACUCAUAACCACGGAACAUUAAAUGACAUUAAUAAUAAAUUUUUUUAUGAGGACUUUAGAGAAAUAAUAAUAAUAAUCAAGUGUCAAAAAUAAGUUUAAGUAAUUACCUUAAUAGUCAUCAACAUAUUUUAGCAUGCAAACAUAUUAAGUGUCCACUUUGUAUUUAAACUUGAUCAAUUUUACGAAAAGCAAGAUAAAGUUAACUUUAUGAAUCACAAUUAUUUUUACUCUAAUAAAAAUAAAACAGUGGAGAUGGCAUCAAUUAUGAAAAAUUCGUAAUUUUCUCAGAAAACAAGAAUCAUGCUUGUAGGUCAAACAGUAGGCAAUUCUUGGUAAAAAUCUUGGGCAUGAAAAGAGGCAGGAGAUUCCAAAAAAAAUAAAUAUGGACAAAAUAAAGCCUCAAGCAGAAACACCAGCCAAAAAUAAUCACAGCAACAGCAACAAUAACCAAAAUCACAGCAGAAAAUGAUAGUAAUAACGAAGAGUACCUCCCCCUACUGAAAGCACAUUGUCCUCAAUGUGGACGAAAAGAAAUAAAUAGGUAGAAAAGUUUAGAAAAACUCCCCAUGUGAUCACAAAUGAUGGCAAUGAGCUUGGUCAGUUGCUGGCCAAAGGUUUCAAGUCAGGCCUUAAUGCGCUUUAAGUGUUGCUUAACGGUUUGCUUCAUUUUUUUUUCUAAGCAAAAGAAGAAAAAUUGAUUAAUAUCCAAAUAGGUAAUAAAUAAUAAAAUAAAGUAAUAAAUAAAGUAAAGAAAAAUAAUAAUAAUAAUAAUAAUAAUAAUAAUUGGGUUGCCUCCCAACAAGCGCUUGUUUAACGUCGUUAGCUCGACGCCGUUAUUGGUUCUAUGGUGGUCCCAAAUAGAUUUUCUUAACCGUGUGGGCUUGAAAAUUCUCAUAAAAUGGCUUCAACCGCUGGCCAUUGACUACGAACCGCUUUCCAGAUUCUUCACUCUCUAUUUCAAUCGCUCCAUGUGUGAACACUUUAGUAACAAUAAAAUGUCCUUGCCAUCGUGAUCGAAGCUUACUCGAGAAUAACUUUAACACGGAGUUAUAAAGUAAAAUUUUUUGUCCUACCGAAAAAUGCUUCUGAGCUAUUCUCUUAUCGUGAAACAACUUUGUCUUGUCUUUAUAAAUGCGAGCAUUCUCGUAGGCAUCAUUGCGAAUUUCUUUUAACUCUUGAAUGUUUAAUUUCCUUGCCUUUCCUGAGGGUUCUAACUCCAACUCUGGUUCCUGUAUAACAGAAGGUAACAGUUUAGUAUUUGGAGAUAAUAACUCAUUAACAAAUUCAAUUUCAUCAAGUUCAGAAUUAUCUCCAUAAAUUGACUGAAAAUUUUCUUCCACCAAAGAGUCAAUUAUAUCGAUACGAUUUACGCUCAAGAUUUCGCUUGGAUGGCUAAUGGCGUCGUAGACAUUAAACUUUACGAUUUCCCCAUCAAACUCCAUCGUGAGAGUUCCACUUCGAACAUCAAUUUUAGUACUAGCUGUACUAAGAAACGGUCGACCCAGCAGGAGAUCUGAAGAUCCAGGAGUGCUAUCCUCCUCCAUUUUGAUCACAUAAAAAUCUGCAGGGAAAAUAAGCUCGUUAACUUUUACCAGAACAUCCUCAAGGACUCCUUCUGGAUGCACAACAGACCUGUCCGCCAAUUGAAUGAUAACACCUGUUUUUGUCAAAAAACCCGCGUUAAGUGAUUCAUAAAUAGAAUAUGGCAUUACAUUUAUAGAAGCCCCUAGAUCACACAUAGCCUUUUUAAUUCCCAAAUGGCCUAUUUUGCAUGGUAUUGCAAACAUGCCCCUAUCCUUACAUUUUGCCAGCAUUUUUCGCUGUAACACUGCAGAUACAUUCUCACCAACAUUCACCCUUUCAUUACCUGUUAAUUUUCGUUUGUUGGUGCAAAUCUCUUUAAGAAAUUUAGCAUACCGCGGUAUUUGCUUGAUGGCAUCCAACAGCGGAAUAUUGAUUUCGACAUUCCUAAAUGUUUCAAGAAUUUCUUUAUCCUCUUUACCUCUUCGACACUGGUUGAAUCGUUCUGGAAAUGGAGGUUGAAUUUUAGGCAAUGGAGGCUUCGAUCGGACCUGUUCGUCUUUUUCGGGUUUUUUCUGGGUAAUUUCUUGGGCAAGAUUCCUGUCAGGAAUUGGUUCCAGUACCUUUCCACUUCGCAACGUCACUGCAUUUGCAUUUUGUCUAGGUUUGGUUCUGUUUGUGACGGUAGCUUCCCUUGAGAAGUCAAUUUCUCAAUCGAUGUGGUCAACUCUCUUAUGGACGCCUCGGUUUUCUGUUGGAAAUCUUUCGUCUCUUUUUGGAAAUUAAGAGUUUGCUGUUGGAAAUCAAGAACAUUAGCUGCUAACUUAUUGACCAUGGUUUCUAGAAAAUUACCUGAACCUUGUGGCUGUUGCGGAAAUCGAUUUUGGUAUGGCUGGUUAUUUCGUGGAUUGGUCCCAUAGCUUAAGUUAGGAUGGUCCCUCCACCCUGGGUUGUAGGUAUUAGCGUAGGGGUCGUACUGCCUUUGUGGUUGCCCAGGGAAAUUUCCCACAGCACCCAGAUGGGCCGUGGUAUCAUCAUACAAACUGGGACAUGCAUCAGUUGCAUGAUCUGGUGUAGCACAUAUUCCACAUAACCGAGCUGUCUUUGUUUUUUCUGCAAUAAGAGAGUUCAUCAUAUUAGUAAGUCUAUCAACUUUAUCCUCUAAGGUUGAAUUACUUAGCUGAUGAACCCUUCUAGAGGGUUCAGUAUUGGCUCGGAACUGCUGAGAAUUUGCAGCCAUCGUGGAGAUCAAGUCUCUCGCUUGUUGGGGAGUCAUGUUGACCAAUGCUCCUCCACUAGCAGCAUCUACCAUAUUCAUCUCCAUGGGCUUCAAACCUUCGUAAAAGUAUUGGAGGAGAGAUUGCUCUGUUAUACCAUGUUGUGGACAACUUGCACACAACUUCUUAAACCGCUCCCAAUAAUCGUAAAGGGACUCAGCUUCUUUUUGCCUUAUUCCAACGAUCUCUCUUCUUAACUCAGCUGCUCGAGACGCUGGAAAAAACCUGUUCAGAAACAAACGAGAUAGAUCAGCCCAAGUUGUAAUAGAUCCAGGGGGUAAAUAAAAUAAUCAUUCUUUAGCGGAAUCUGCUAGGGAGAAAGGGAAAGCACGCAAUUUAAUCUGAUCCUCAGUUACCCCCUGAGGUUUCAUGCUAAGACAAACCAUAUGAAAUUCUUUCAGAUGCUUGUGGGGAUUUUCAUUUUGUAACCCACGAAAAGUUGGCAAUAACUGGAUUAAACCUGACUUCAAUUCAAAAUCAGUAUCCAUAGUAGGAUAUGCGAUGCAUAAUGGCGGUUGUUCUGUUGGAGCUUCGGCCAGUUGCCGAAUUGUUUGAGCCAUUGGUUCGUGUGCUAAAUUUGGGUUUUCGUUAACCCUAGCGUUAAGCACUUCUUCUGGUGAGUCGACUUCUACUUUUUCGCUUUCAAGUGUUCGAGUAGGAUUUUCGUUAACCCUAGACUCAGCUUCGUCGUCGACUUCAAUUUCUGGCAGUGGAUUACUUUGAGUUCCAACCACCGCUGACUGCUUUUUUCGUAACUUUGUCUCCUUGCGAUUGGCUCUAGCAGUCUUCUCAAUUUCUGAAUCGAACGCAAGAGUACCUGGAGCAGAUCUGGUCAUAAGAAACAAAAAACAAGAUUAGUACGUUGCCAGUCCCCGGCAACGGCGCCAAAAUUUGAUGCGGUCGUUGGAAGCACCAAAAAUAUCCUAUCCCUAAUAAAUAAUGAAAAGAAUAGUAAAAGGGAAGUAGGGUCAAAUCCUCAGGGACUGGACUUGCAAAAUAUCUUGUUCCGUGAUAUCCCAGGCAGAGUCUUGCCCAAGACAACCUGCGUUCCUGAAAAAAAUAAAAACAAUAGCAGAAUUAAAUUGUUGGAUCUAGAAACGAAAAAUAAAAUAAAAACAGAAUUAAGAAUAUUUAAUUGAAAAUUUGAAAAAUUAAAAAUAAAGUUAAGAGAAAGAAAAUUCUUAUGGGAGAUUCCAGCCUCCAGUUGUCUCGUUCCGCCUUGGGUUCAAUCCUCGGCUUUUAGAUGAUCCUUCCCAAACCAAAUAAGCCAGUUAUAGUGGAAGAGGACGCCUACGACCACCAGCUCCAAUGAUUUAGACUACGAUUUGGUGGAACCUGACUCUAGCUAACAAUCGCUUCUGUGGGAUCGUCUUAUGCUAGAUCAACGCUUCUCAAUGGCGAAUCCCACGCCAUUUUGUCUCUUGGGCUCGCCAACCUCUGACGCAGUAAGCUAACGAACCGACUGUGCAACCUUCCCAAAACAUACAAAGCGGCCGCCUUUGCAUACGUUGAAAAGCUUACUUCUUAAGGGACAUGGACGGAAGCGUCAGCCCCGUAGUGCGGAGAAACGAUGAAUACUCGUUGAGAAGGCUAAGUACGGAUUCUAAGCCUCAAUAACCCUUUUGGGAAUUUUUGACAACCUUCGGCUAGAUGGGUUUAGUGGCUCAUGGUUGUGGUAGAAAAGAAAAUAAAUAAAAUAAAAAUAAAGAUUUUUUUGAAAAGAAAUAUGAAAAGAACAAAUGCCUAGACUUUUGGGGAGAGAGUGUUUACAGAAAAAGAAAAGAUGGGCUCCCUUUUUGAGUCACUUCACCCCCUAUUUAUAGUGCUAGGGGAGAUAUUCUAAUUCUACUUAAAUUCCUAAAAGAUAAAUACAUUUAAUUGAAGAUAUAUAAAGAUAAAAUAAAAUCCUAAAAAUAAUCCUUAAUAAUUAUCUCAAUAUUAAUUAUCCUAAUAUAAUUAAAAUAGAGUUUAAUAAAAUAAAAUCUCUUCUUUUUGCAUUUCAACCCUUGUGUCCUCCAUGCUUGCACUUUUGGCACCAACUUUUCCUUGUGUCGCACAUUGGCCCAUUUUAUCUCUAAAUUCACGCUUUUGGCCCUUAAUUUCACUUUUGCCUCAAAUUUAGUCCCCAUGAGAUAAAAGAUCAUAAAUAGCUCAAAUUAGCAGGAUCAUACUCAGAAUAAAUACAUAAUUAAUACAUAAAAAUACGUUAUUCUAGAGUGUUAUCAAUAGGAAUGGUUGGAGAUGGUGUGUAGAGGCUGGUGGGUAGGAUACUAUUUUCUGUUACUGUAUGCAUACUGUAUCUGAUAUGGGUUAAGGCCCUAUUUUAUAUUUGAGACUGUAUCUGUAAUGGGCUUAGGCCCAGACUGCAUUUGAUUGAUAACUGUUGUUUGACUGUGUGCAUGUCUUCUGUGGGGAUUACACACUGAGUUUACGUAAACUCACCCAUUUUUUUUAUCUGCACAGGUAACCCCCAGACCUAGACGGACCGGUACGGCAGAGGACUUAACAGUGACCACAUGACUAUUGAACUAAUUUAAUUCCAUUUAAGGUUUUUAAUUCUUAUUAUUUUUGCGGUAUAUAUGAUGUAAUUUGGACUUUUGGACUGUUUGCUGUACUUUGGAUUUUAACUGUUUACAUGGACUUUAAACUGCAAACUUAACGAAAAUUCAGUUUUAUUAAUUACAAUGUUUUUCCUAACGCGAACAAUUUUUUUUUAAAUAUUACAGUUUUAAAAUCUUCUGCUACAGAAUAUGAUUUUAAACGAAUCAAAUUAACAAGAAAAUAGUUUAGGAAUUGACGAAAGAUAAAUAGAAGCUAAUAAACGGAAACAGUUUUAACUUGAUAAAUUUGAUUUCAAAUUCCAUUCCAUGUGACAUUGCCAGAUUUGGCCAUAACGUCUAGGCUAGGUUUGGGGUGUUACAAGUAGCCACAUCAACUGUACUAGAUUGUAAGAUUUAUCUAGCAUUAGCAGACCUUCAAUGAACUUCAAGCUGAAUGCGCACGCGAAUUGCUACUUUUCAAUGUCGCUCACUGAAGCAUCGGUAGUUUAGAAGUUGUCCUCUAACCAUCUCAUCUCCAUCCGGCUACCCCUAAACCUGUUUGGCACAUUCCCCAACAGUUGCUCAUAUGUUGCACUCCAAUCGGCACUAACAACUGGCCCCGUAAUGACAUCUACAUCGACCGAUAGACCUAGUUGUAAACUGACGUCCUCAAGUGUAAUUGUACACUUGCCGCAAGGAAGAUGGAAUGUGUGCGUCUUCGGUCUCCAUCUCUCGACCAAAGCAGUAAUGAGUAGGGGAUCCAAUUUAGUCCUCUAGAGCAUGCGAGCCGCAUAUAAAAAGUCUGCAGCUCGCACGUGUUCAUGAAUGGCAUCCGGUGCACCUUCGCUUAAGUUGUUUAUGUAUGUCUCCAAAAUUCGAUCUUUGGCCUGAGUAUAUAAACAUAAAAAAAAAAACUUAGUUUCUUAAAAAAAAAUUAAGCAUAUAUUGAUAAAUUUACCCUAAAAUAUUAUUUAAAGUAUACCACCUAUUUUCUCUUUAAAUGAAUUCAAUAUUAAUUACUCCCUUAAAUAAAUAUUAAACUUGAAAAUAUUGUUUCAUAUCAUAUCAAUAUAAAUAUUGUAUUAAAUUUUAAAUAUGAAAUAAAAUAAUUUUAAAAUUUUCAUUUAAAUUUGUAAAUCUUUGACAUAUAUUUUAAUAUAAUUGAUUUAUAUCUAUACCCAAUUAAAUUCACAAAAUCAAACAUUUUAAAAUAAAAAAAAUUUAUACCAUUCUAAAAGCGAAAUUUAUUAUACAAAUAUUAUUUCUAAAAUAUAAAGAACAAAGGUUAUAAUCUUUUUUUUACUUUAUACAUAUGGUUGAAUUCGUGGCUUGAAAAUACAAUCUAAAGAAAUAGAGGAGUAACAAUUGCUUUCUUUUUUCUUUUGUGGAAUUCUUUCAUUUUCCAUUUUAAAGACUUUCAUACAAAUUACAUAAGUGGGGUUAGGCGUCCCAGUACUAUAUAUUUGAACUGCCCAAAUGCUUCUUUUUUUUUUUUUUUUGUAAUAAAAGGAUUUUCUUUUAAAUUAAUUAUAAGAAUAAAUAUUAAUAAUUUAAAAAAUAGAAUUGAAUAAAUAAUAAACGGUGGUACUAUCCAACCCGUGCAAAUUUUACAUUUUGAAUUGUUUAAUAAUUACUAAGGGUUGGUUUAGUAUUACUUUUGAAAAGUGUUUUUAAAAAGUAUUAUGUAAAAGCGAUUUUGAGGAGUACUUUUAAAAAUUUUAGUUUAUAAUCCGCAAUUUUUUAAUUUAUUUGCAAUAUUUUCUCCUUGAAUUAUGUUAUUUUUGUUUUUAAUUAUAUUCUUUAUAUUAUAUAUUUUAUUUAGGGUUAAAUAUAAAACUAAUACCCAAACUUGUCUACUUCUCCCAAAUUAAUACUUGUGGUUUUUUUGUCCGAAAUUGGUAUUCGAACUUUUUUUCUGUCAACUAAAUCGGUAUCUGAGUUUAACACCAUUAAGUCUACGACACGUGACAGAAUAAGAUUUUGACACGUGUGAUGGUGAUGUCAUGGUGACAUCAUAAUCUAAAAAAUUAAAUUUUUUUUUGACUUUUCUCCUCCUAAUUUUUUUGUCGUUCUUUUUUCAUUUUCCUUAUUUCUUCUUCUUCUUGGGGGAGAAAAGUAAAAUAAAAAUUGAAAAUUUUUUAGACCAUGACAUCACCAUCGUCACAUGUCAAAAUCUAAUUCUACCACGUGUCAUAGACUUAACGACGUUAGACUCAGGUACCAAUUUAGUUGACGGAAAAAAAGUUCAAGUAUCAAUUUGAGACAAAAAAACCGUAAGUACCAAUAUAGGAGAAGUGGAUAAGUUUGGGUACUAAUAUUAUAUAUAAACCUUUUAUUUAUUAUUCAUCUAGGGAAUAAUUGGGAAAAAUAGCUUAAAGAUUAGUUUUGAAAAGUUUUUAUGAUUUUAAAUUUCAACAAUAUAGUUUCAUUAUUUUGGUCGUAACUUGAGCUACAAAUGUCUGUUUUGGGCCCAUAAUAUAACAAUUCAAAGGAAAUUGAAAUUUUUAGCUAAAAUUAUUUCACAACUUAAGCCCAAAAACGUCACAAAGACACUCAAAAACGGCCUUCAAGUUUGACUCAAAAAUUGUCAAUAUAUCUUGAAAAAUUCUUCUUUAUUUAAUUAAGAGCGCUUUUAUAUUUUCCUCAUUAUAUUAUUUUUGCCUUAUAUAUACACAUUAUUAUGUUAAUAUUUGGGGAGACUUAGAUUUAGUCUUUAUUAGUUGUAUUUUGUUUUCUUUAUUCUAUAGGUUUCCAAAUUCUCUUUUCUAGUAAAAGGUUUUAUCGAAAUUUAAUUUAAUAAACUUGUAAGACUUAUUUAUACUUUAAUUCUUUUUUGAUUUUUUGGUAUUCAUUGUAAGACUGACCUGACAUCAAAUGUUGUAGUUAUUUCAGUUUAUUUCCACACUUAAAGAGUUUGUUUUCUAGCCAAUUUAGUAUUUAAUAUUAUAUUUUCGAUCUUUAGUUGUUAGGAUUAAAAGUUAAUAAACAUCAGUGUUUUUAACAUUUUUUUAGUGUUGAUGACCUAUUAGGCCGACACAGGCUUUAGGUAGGGUUAAUUUGUGUAUUUAAGUGUGCAGGGGGCUUAAUUUUAGGCUCAAUUAACGUAAGAACUUGAGACAAGUGUUGCACAAACUUUCCAUGUAACAAUCAUAACCUGAUCCAGUCGUCAGACUCAAGUUACGGAAUACUACAGUCAUAAUCAAAAUAGAACACGUUCAAAUCACAUUGGUUAUCUCAAAUAAACAGAGGAUACUUCAUAUAUACAUAAUUAUUACUUAAAUUUAACAAAAAUCAUCCAAACAUAGUUAAUUCAAUUUUUUAUUAACAAAUACAUCAUUUCUCAUAUCAUAUACGAGCUUAUGUGUACUCCAAUACCAUUCAGAAUUUAACUAGGAUUAAUUUGCAAUAUUUUCAAAUAUUCAGUUCAAUUAUAAAUAAAAACAAUUCAGAGCUCAAUUUAAUCAUCAUAUAUCAAUAGUCAAUAAUUAAUCAUAGCAUAUUUGUGAAAACGAAACUUAAAUCGAGUCCACAUGACUUUAAAAAUAGUUUGGAAAUAAAUAGGGCCUAAUCUAAAAUAAAACAGAAAAACAUGGAAAAAAUUUGAAAAUAGUGGUCACACGGCUGUGUGAUAAAGCCCAGGCCGUGUGGCUUAGGAACAUAUAGUUGUGUGGCCAAACUAUGUACAGUUUUAAGUUAGGGGCACACAGUCAUAUCUCUAAGCCAUGUAAUAGCCUGAUGCCGUGUAGAAAGACCUAUGCCAUGUGUGGCAGACGAUCGUGUGGCAGACUGUGCCCCAGGCUGUGUGCAACUACAAUGACUUCAAAAACAAGUAAUUUCAAACUCCAUUUCUUAGAUAUCAAAUCCAACCAUUUCUAACCAUUUCCACCUAUUCAAAACACAUUCAAACAUACAAAAAACAUUCAACCUAAGUGUCUAAUAAAUGUACUCUCAUUGAUACCACAAUUCAAACAUUUAGAAUCUAACCCACUUACAUCAUUUCCUGCCUAAUAAAUGCACCCUCAUUGGUACCACAAUUCAAACAUUUAGAAUCCAAAUCACAUACAUCAUUUCCCAAAAUACAAAACAUGUAUCAAUCAAACAUUUCAUCACCUUAAACCACAAUAAAAACCAAACUUGAAAAGGUAGGGAUCUGAUGGGCGUUGAAACCACCAAAUAAAAAUAAUUCCUACAAUAAAAUAACUCUAAAUAGUAGUAAAGAGUAGUAGGGUUGAUUCCACAAGGAUUGAAUAUUAUGAUCAACUUUUGUGUUUUUUUCGUGAACAAAACUUUUUUCGUGUCGAUAAUCUUGGCAAUAGUCGUGCCCUCGACUCCAAAAGACCUACUGAGAAAUAAAUAGAUUAGGGGAGUUUCGAAAUGACUAGAAAUUAAAUAAAUGAAAUAGCAUAAAUAAAAAUUAAAUAAAUCGAAAAUAAAAUUAAAUUGGGAAAUAAAUUUGGAUUUUGUAAACAGAGUUAUAAAUAGAGUUAUAAAUUGAGAAAUAAAAUGUCUAAUAACAAGUGAAUUUGAACUCUUAGUACAUAUCACUUAUAACUUAAAUCCAAGUAACCAAAAUUUACAUCAAGUUGAUGAAUGGGUGGUGUGAGCUCUGACUUGAACUUCCACUGACAUAAUCUUUCGACUAUCUACAAGAAAAACAACACAACGGAUGUAAGCAAAUCAUUGCUUAGUAAGUUUGUAUUAAAAUUUAAAUUUAACUUACCGUAAAAGUUGUAACCUAAACAUUUUCACAAAUAAAAUUCAUAAGCAAGGUUAUGAGUUCAUUAUUAACCUAUAUGUUCACAUAUACGAAACUUAUAACUUUAUCAUGUCAUAAAACAUAUACAAUUAAACACAUUUGAUAUACUAUUAAUUCAACAUUUAUUCAUUUAACAAUUCACAUUUCUAUUUUAAGUGUUCAUUUCAAAUGUCCUUUCUUACAUAUCUAUCCAUAUAAAAAUUUCAUAUAACACUUCAUAUAAUUAUUUCCAUAUAAUCGAUUCAUAUAAUUAUUUCUUUUAUCUGUUUCUCUUUAACUGAUUCAUAUAACCAUUACAUAUAUCUAUUUCUAUAUAACCAAUUCUUAUAAUCAUUUCACAUAACCAUUUCGUAUAGCCAUUUAAAAGUGUUAACCUUAACACAAUAUGAUUCAACAAUUCCAAGUUAGCAAACAACAAUUAUACAGAUAUUUAGAAUUCAUAAUUUUGUUCACUUUAAUGAAAAAAAUUAGCUAUGUAAAUUUUUUAUUUUCUAAUGGAAUUUUGUAAAGAACUCAACACAAAAGUCUGGGAAACAAAUGAUUCUUGUAUGAGCUAAUCAAAUACAAAAAUAUAUGUGUCAGAUUACCCAUUUGGACUAAACCAGUGAUAACACAUAAAAAUAGCUUGGCCAAGGCUAUGUAUACAUGUAAAGUUACCCGUCAAGCUAAACUUUUAAAACAACAACGGAUUACCAGUCCAAGAUAAAUUCGUGUCACAUGUAUAUCGGAGUCUACAACAAAUGUUGGAGCUCUGUCCAGAACGAGAAUCAUACAGAAACUGUGUAUGAGACUUUCACUCGGUCCAUCAGAAUUAUCUCAGAAUUUGAUUUAUUACCACAUAGUCUAAUUUCCAAUUUCAGCAGUUUAUAUACAAUUAAUUAACAACAUUUAAUAACGAAUUGUAAUUAAGGAAGAUAGUAUGAACUUACCUAGACAAAAACGGUUGUGAAACCAAGGUCGGCAAUUAAUCCGUUAAUUUAGCUUUUCAACGAUUAGAGUCCGAUUGUUUCGUUCCUUGAUCUAAAUAAUAUUUUUCGUUCAAUUAAUCCAUUCAAACAUCAUAAUAUAUUGACAUUCAUAUAUUUGACCCUUACUCUUUAUUUUACACUUUUUACCAUAAACUUUAACUUUUUAUUCAAUUUAGUUCCUAAACUCUAAACAUUCAAUUCAAUCAAAAAUUAAUCCAACCAUGGCUAGCUAAAAUUUAUAUAAUUCCCAUAUAUCCCAUAUUCAUCAUAUUUUUACAAGAAUUUAAUAUAACUUUACUUUUUAGCAAUUUAGUCCUUAAACACUAAAAUUACUCACUUUACAAAAAAGUCAUGUUUAACAACCAAGUUUAUAAACCCAUCAUUAACAUCCAAAAACUUAAAAUAACAAUAAUGGAAACUAUUAAAAUCUACAACAAUUUUGAAAAUGGAGGUAUUGGUUAGUUGGACCUAGUUACAACAAUUUCAAAAACAUAAAAUUUAUGAAAAACAGAUAACAAGAUGACUUACAACAAUUUCAAAAACAUAAAAUUUAUGAAAUCUACAACAAUUUCAAAAAUGGAGUUUUGGGUGCUCAUUUCGGUGGUAGAUCAAUGAAGAUGAUGAUUCCUUUCUUUUAUUUAUUAUUUAACUUUUAAUUAUUAAUAAUUAAACAUAUUUUUAACAUAUAAAAUACAUACCAUUAGCCCAUUAACCGUCCAGUUUAUUUAAUUAAGGUUAGAUUUCCAUUUAAACUCUUGCACUUUAAAUUUUUAAGUCAUUUAACUAAUAAAAAUCUAUAGUGAUUGACUUUUGUAAUUUUUAUGAUUUAGUCCUUUUUUCUUAAUUAACUAUCAAAUAACCAAAAUUUUUGGACCAAAUUUCAAUACACCUAAGCAAUCACUCUGUAAAUAUUUGGUUUAUAGAAACGAGGUCCCGAUAUCUCAUUUUCCAAAAUCAUUUAACUUUAGGGACAACCCACUUGUAGUUAACUAUUCAUUCAAUAAGCCAAAAUUAUUGUAUCAAAAUUCAAUAUAAUACUAUAUUUGACUCGUAAAUAUCAAUUAAUAACAUUUAUGGACUCACUUGUCAGAUUUGUUGUCCCAAAGCCACUAUUUUUAACACAACUAAAAAAUAAGUUGUUACAUCCCGAGCUAGAAAGCACAAUCAAAACGUCCAAAGCCAUAAAAAGAUAGCUAUGGUGCGGCACAACCUCUACGUUGAGCCAUAACAACCUAUGCUGAGCCAUAGCUUGAACGUGGGUCAUAAGCAAUGAUGAUGUCAAUGACCAUGUUUAGCAAGAUUUUAAGAUACCAUUUAGUACCAAGCAUUUAUUAAUACUGGUGGCAUAAUGGGCAUCAACUGCACAUAUUUUAGCUUAUAAAUAAUAGGCUUGUGUACACAAAUUAGAGCAUCCAUCCAUCUUUUAGCCUUAAAUAGUUUUCUUUAGUUUUAGUUUUAGUUUUCUUCUGCUGUAGUUGGAAGAUCUUCUUCCAAUAUGAAGACAAUUGCGAGCGGGGAUUGCUUCAGAUCUGCGCUUUAAUAUAUUUAUCAAUGAGCAUUCCCUUUACUCUUCUACUUUAUUCUUUUAUUUAUAUCUCAUUAGCCUGAUCAACUAAUGUUUGUAUGAAUUUUAGAAUAAUUACUGUGCUUUAUUUAUAUCUUGCUUGAUUCGUCUAUUUAACUAAUUAAUUCAUCAAGUCGAUUAAUUAACAAAAUAAUAAAGAUUCAUAACAGGGUUAAUAAUAAAGAUUCAUAAUAGGGUUAGUUGGUAUAGAUACACGUUAUAAAACUCUAGGUGUGACAACCCUAAGAAAUUAUCAUAGGGGAGACGAGAUUGGAAGAUAAGUCGAAUCGAGUAAAUCGUAGUCUAUCUUGAUUGAGAAACUGAGGUCGGGAGGUAAUAUUAGUUAAUUAAUAGCUAAUUCAUAUUAAAACCCAAAUCCUAAAAUUAGUUAAUAUUCUUUUUAUUAAUUGGGAUUUAAUUAAUCAUAGGCAAGAGGCUUGCAAUGUGAACACUAGGAAUAAGAAAGUCGAUUAGGUUAAUUUAGAUUUAAUAAUUUAAUUAGUUUAAUAAAUCUAUUAUUUUGGACUUACACUACUAAUUCAUGACCGAAUUAGAUUAGUAAUUAUUUUCUGUAAUUAAUUUAAUAAUAAUUUUUCCAAUAUUCAACUCCUUGGGUAUGAUACUCGGAAUACUUACCAAUGUUUCUUUGUAAACUUUACUAUAUUACAAUUUGAUCCGUACACUUGUGGACACUGCUGAUUUAAUUAUAUAUAUAUUUUUAGUGUGAUAUUUUUACUAUAAAUGAUAAUAUGUUUAUAGGCAGUCAAGUUGUUACCGCUGUUGAUUACUAUAAAAUAAUAUUAGUCAAAGGAAAAACGAGUUAUAUAGUAUUCUAACUUUUAUUCAACUAAUUAUAUUUUAUAUUUUUAGUGUGGAAAAAAUAUAAAAAAUUAUUAUUAAAGAAAAAAUUAAUAUUUUUGCCUACCUUGUUAAUAAUUAGAUUUAGUCAUGAAUAUUGAUUUUUAUAAGUCAGUGUAUGAGUUAUCUAAAUUGAAUUAAUUGUACAAUGGAAUCGAGAUUACAAAGGUCAACAGUCUGAAUGUUAGGAUGAACUUCCACCUAAACUAAACAAGUAUAUAUCCGAGAACGAGGGAUAUUCGACGAAUCAAAGGAGUUGGGACGCAGAAUGUGAUGAAAGAUUACCGGAUUAUGACUAAAGCUAUUGUUUUUGAAGUCAAUUACCCUUAAAGUGGUAGGCAGAGCACUACUUUACACUGCAAAAGCGUGUGGGACAUCCACAUUGAAAACAAUUGUACGACUUCUCCAGCAAAUUCAAAGUCUAGUCCUUAGGAUUUGGGAACCAAUUAUAUUGUUUUUUAAGUCAAUUACCCUUUAAAGGUGUAGGCAGAGCACUACUUUAUACUGCAAAAGCGUGUUGGAGUUGGACAUUCACAUUGAAAAUAAUUGUACGACUUCUCCAGCAAAUUCGAAGUCUAGUCCUUGGGAACCAAUUAUAUUGUUUUAACCUUCGUUCGCAUGUUAAAUAAAUUUCUUUUAUAUUUAUAUUAUAUUUUAAUUCAAAAGAUAUUUAAAAAUAAAAUUAAGUAAAACAAAUUAAAAUUAAACUUAAAUGAUAUAUAAAUAUAAUGAUUUAUUUAACCUUCUAACUUUAUAAAAAAAAUUAUUUUAGUAUUUUAUUUAUUUAAAGUCUCUGUUAAUCUUUAAACUUGUGAUAAUCGUCGAAUCCCUUCAAAAUGAAUACAACAGUUAACUUUAAUUAACUUGAAUAAAUCAUUAUGCUAAAUAUAUAUUUUGAUUUCAUAAUAAUUUUAAUCUUAAUAUCAAGACUCCAUUUUAAUUUUAUGAAUUGAUGAAAGAGUAAUGGGAAAUGAGUAAUGUCAAAAAAGCUUACAUCUUUUGAAAACUAAGAUUAGGUUUACAUUUGGUUGUUUCUUAGAAACUUACCCUUCCUACUGAAAGUCAACUUUGUGAACAGCAUAAAAUAAUUUUAAAUACUUAUAUUUGGGUCUUUAUAUAUUUAAAACAAUUUGAGUUGUUGCAAUAUGUGAAUAUAAUUAAUUAAAUUUGUAACUAUCAAAUAUGCUGAUUUUUUUUGUAUAAUUAUUUCUUUUUGUAUAUAAAAUAUUAUAAAAAUUAAUAAGUUAUUUUUAAAAAUUAAAUUUAUGCUUAUAAUUAUAAUUAUUAUAUUUAAAAAAAAUCCACUUAUUCUAAUAAAAAACCUACACUUUCAUACAUCAACCUAAAAUUAAACCAAACAUUAUAAACUCAAACCGUACUGAAUUCAUCAGUUCAAAUAUAUAAUAAUUAUAAAAAAUAAUAAUAUAAAAAACUUGACAUUUUAUAAAAAAAAUUAAAAAUAUAUAAUAUUGCUUUAAAACACAACUAGAAUAAAUCCAAAUAAAUUGGAGUCCAAGUGCACUUGAAUCUAGACAAAUAUUUGUUUAGAUUCAUUCUUAAUGUUAAAUAAUUUUAAUAUUUUUUAUAAAUUUAUAUAUUUUUAAAUAUUUUUAUUUUUAUUAAUGCUUAUGGUCAUGCGUUUUGGUUGCUGGUUUCACGUCAUCACAUUUUAACAAUAUUGGAGUAGUAUGAAAUUGAAUCAAGGAAUUAAGUCCAAAAAGAAUUUUAAAACUCUUCGGUUGAAAAAAUAACUAAGCUUGAAGCAGGAUUCAGCUUUGAUAGUUGAAACUUUUAGGUGGUUGUACCUCUGCCUCGUCCUUUGCAAAUGAUACAUGAACUCCGCAAUGCUUUACCUCACAACAAAUGCAGUGAGACCAAUCCCCCUUGCAAACAAGAGGGUAGAAUUUAAACCAAACCAGGCCUCAUUUGUUUGAUGCCUGAGUUUCCACAAACCGACUAACUUCAGCAUUGUCAUCACAGAAAUAAGUGAUCCCACCCAACCAAUUGGUCUCCAGGGAUUCGUCUCUGAAGCCCAAAAAUAUCAAAAAGGUACAAAAAAGGCCCUUAAAGUUUGACGUGAAAAUUACUAAGAUAUUUGUUUCAAAAAAAAAAAAAAGAAAAUUACCAAGAUAUUUGAAAAUUUCUGCUCUAUUUAAUCAAGAACACUUUUAUUUUUUUUUAUUGUAUUAUUUUUGCCUUAUAAGGUUAAAAUUCGGGAAGAUUUAAAAUUAAUCGUUUCUCUCUUUUCUAGUCAAAAAUUUUAUUGAAGUUUGAUUUAAUAAAUUGGUAAGACUUAUUUAUGCUUUUAAUUCUUUUUUGUUCUUUGAUAUUUAUUGUAACAAUUUUUAUCCGAAUUUAUAGUUAAACUCAGGCAAAGAAUUUCGAUUUCCUUUCGGCACAAAUUUUUGUAGAGCUGACUUGUGGAACCAUUACGAGUAUCCUCGCCUCUGAAGUUAAGGAGAACAUUCUACGUCCUUGCUUUGAUCAUAUCAGCAGCAGCAGCAGAAGAAGAAGAUGUUGAAGGAAGCAUAUGGGUGUUCCGCCGGAUUUGAUGGAAGAUUAUUGAAUUAUGAGUAAAACUCUUACAUUUGGUUCUUUCUUAGAAACCUAUAGCCAUACUUCCCACUGUAUAUCAACUGCUCAAGCGUGUGGGACCUUGACCAUUGAAAACAAUUGCACGAGCCUCCAACAAAUUGAACUGAAAGGUAAAUUACACCAGUUGUUCUUAUAGCUUAGCUUAAUUAAUUUUCUUCAGAUUUACUUAACUGUAUUUUAUUUCCAGCUUUUACUUUUCACGUUUUAUUUUUCUUAUUUAUUUCAGAUUCCAGAUUUUCAAUUCUAUCCUCCCCAAAAUUUCUUGGGUACCACAACUGCCCAGACACAAAUCUGGUCGAGAAAUAUAAACAAUUUCAGUAAACCCAGUCUUUGAGGGAUCGACCCAUCUCCCUAUACUGCUUAAAUUGCAAAUUAGGCGUACGUUUAUAUUGGUGGAUUCGACACCCAUCACCUUAACUUUUGAUUAAAAUUAUAUUUCAACUAUUCAACUUUCAAAAAUUAUAUAAUUGUCACUGAAAUUAUCAAAAUAUUACGAUUUUUUUUUAUGAAAACCCCUUAGUGCCAUUAACUCUUCCUGAUCCAAAUUUUAAUGCCGACACGUGGCAUAAAAUGAGUGGCUGGAAAAAUUCAAAUGGGAAAUUAUGAAAUUAAUAAUGUUUAAAUUAGUUUUAUAAAAAGAUUUAUAAAAAGACUAACGCCUAUAAUUGUGAUAUAUUUGAAUUGGUUUGAAAUAAGAUAGACUUUUGAGUCAAUUACCCGAAUUCUUAUUUUUGUAAUAACAAUAUUUUCAUCAAAAUUAAUUAUAAAAUGUAUAUACUUUUUUAAUGCUUUUCUUAAAAAAAUUUAAAUAAAUAAUAAACUCGAAUUUUUUGAACCGGGUCAGAUUGAUAUAAAAAUUUGAGAAAAAAUAAACAUUAAUAAAUAUCACUUACAAUAAUACAAUAAACUCAAUGAUAAAUACGUAAUAUGUUAAAUAUUUAAUAAACAUGAUCAGGGUUUGAAAUUCAGUAUAGAUGACAUAACAAAAAUGAGGAUGAAGCAUCACUCAGCUCUCAUACUUUGAAUCCUUAAUUUCCAAAAAAUAGAUGAACCCCGCACUGUUUUACCUCGUAUUCUAAGGAAUCCCACCCUACAAUGUAGAAAUGAAAGGAAGCCACAUUGUAAAUACGGUUGUUUGAUGCCUCACUUUUAACAAUCUCCCUAACUUUGAAAUCAUCAUAUAAGACGAACAAGCGAUCUGACAAUCCGCUUUCAAACCAAAAGGAGAAAGAACAGGUAAGGUCUUGAUUAUCGCCAUUACAGGAUUUUAGAUGACAUUCACAUUCAAUGUCGAAUUCCAUACCAUCAUAAGAGUCUGGGAUUGAAACAACAACGGAAGCAACGAAACAUGGAAAGUUUAUCCUGCUAUUAUUAGAGCACCACUCUGAAGGCAAUUGGAUGUUUAUGGAAGAUCCUAAGCUUUUGAAAUCAAACCAUUCCGGAAUUUCACUUCCAGGGACGCAUGUAAGAAUCCUAAUUCUUCUUUUGCUUUCUGGGGGUGCCUGUUUAAUUACAAUUAUUAGAAACAUGAUUGAUUACUCAGCAUAUAGCUAUCCAUUGUUUUCUGAUAGCACAUUAUAGUUGUCCUCAGGAAUCCACAACCUACUGCGUUUUUCAAGUUUUAAAGUUGAUUCAUCGCGUACAUAAAAACCCCUAACCCUUAUCCAUCACAAGAAUAGGAUUUCGUAGCAUUACUGAACAAACACAAUCUAAAUCAUUAGUUUCAAACAUUUCAAUAAUCAUAAUAUAAUUCAUCAUUAAACAUGCAUAACAUUAUUUUUUAAAAUCUAACAUGUAUUGAUUUCCUAAAAAUCAAUGAUAAUUUUUAAGUGGAUUUAUGAUGUCAAUGUAAUUAAUAACAUUAUUUAUACUAAAGAUUCUAUCACAUAUAUUGAUAUUAUGAUUUUUUUGAAAUCUAACUCAUUAUGAUUUCUUUUAUUUAUUAAACAAAAAGUAAAAAUUAUUAAAGAUUGUCUUGUAUUGAGUUUUGAUGAAUUGACCUUAAAUAAAAUUUAUAAUAAAAAAACAGAUAAUUUUUUAAUUAAAUUUACUAAUUGAAUUUUAAAAAAAAUUACAAAAUAAAAGUUUUACACAAGAUUAGAUUGGUUUGUUUUAAUACUAUUAGUACAUUGAACAAUUUAUGCUUGUGAACAAUUUCGAUAUAGCUUUAAUCAUGAACUUGGACAUUGUUGUUGAAUUAUAUUUCUAUCAACCACAUGAUUAUGGUUUGUUUGUUCAGAUUAUGUGUUUGCUUAUUUCUAGUUAACUAAAAUUUCGAUUAUGUCAUUAGCUAUAUUCUUUUAUUGAAACUUCAUUUUUUUUAAAAUUAUAAAAUUCAUGAGAUUAUAAUUUUAUCUUUUUAUAGUUGAUUGGAUCUUAUUUUCGUUGACAUUAUUUCUAUUACAACAAUAAAAUAAAAUUAACUUUUUAAAAAAUUAAGCUUUAAAAUAAAAAAAACUUGAACAACCAUAAAAUUAAGAUUUAAAAAGAAGUACUAAAACCCUCAAGAGAAUGAAAGUUCAGUACUAACUUGGGACUAAAAGAAAACCAUAAAUACCAACUACAGGAAAAGUGACAAAUUCAAAGGCUAAAUGAAUAAUUAAGGUUAUUUACACAUGCAUUCAAUUUCUAUUUGUGUUUAAACAAUGAUAGAAAUGAAAACCAAGAUAUAAAAUUUUGAGCCAAAAAUAAAGAUGAAUAGAAAUCUCUUACAAUUAUAAAUAAAACCAAUAAUAAUUAUGUUAAAUAUUUUGUAAACAUAUUUAAGUUCUGAAAUUCAGUAUUAAUUAUGAGGUUGAAACAUCAUUGAGCUGUCACACUUUGAAUCCUUAAUUUGCAAAUAAUCGAUGAACUCCGCACUGUUUUACCUCGCAUUCUGAGGAAUCCAGCUCUUCAAGGUAGAAAUUAAAGGUGGCCUCAAUGUAAAUACGGUUGUUUGAUGCCUUACUUUUAACAAUCUCUCUAACUUUGAAACCAUCAUACACGAGGAACACGUGAUCUGACAAUCGACUUCCAAACGAAAAGGAGGAAGAACUACUAAAGCAAUCAUUGUCACCGUUACGGGAUUUUAGAUGACAUUCACAUGUAAUGUCAAAUUCCCCACCAGUAUAAGAAGAGUCUGGGACUGAAACAACAGCAGAAGCAACGAAACUUGGAAAGUUUAUCCAGCUAUUAUUAGAGCACCACUCUGAAGGCAAUUGGAUGUUCAUGGAAGAUCCUACGCUUUUGAAAUCAAACCAUUCCGGGAUUUCACUUCCAGGGACGCAUGUAACUAUGAUAUUUCUUUUUUUGCUUUCUGGGGUUGCCUGUUUGAUAACAAUUAUUAGAAACAUGAUUGAGUAUUCAGCAUAUAGCUAUCCAAAAGAAGAAGAAGAAGCUGACCUGAUGAUAAUCUUUUAGUAGAGUCACCAUAUGCUCAAAUGGCAUCUCCAACUUUGGUGUUUCUGGACCGCUUGCAGCUUUCUGAUCCAGUAGGAAGCAGUUCGUAAAUAGCCAACCCAAGGAAUUACAAAACAAUGCUUGCUUCAAAACCUUCUUAAUGCCUGAGACUUCCUCUAGUGAAGUGUUGUCAUCUGCAUCUAUAUCAUUCCCCACACCUUUGUCACCCAGUUUGAAGCAGUUGCUAAAAUCCAAAACCAAACUUUGAUAUGGUCUGUCAUGACAAAACAGUGCUUGCUUAAACAGAUUCUUAAUGCUUGAGAUAUCCUCUAAUGAAGUACAGUCAUGUGCAUCUAAAUGUUCCAGGCUUGGUGGAAGCUCUGGUAAUGAUUUCAGUCUCUUGCAAUUCCGCAAGAUUAACUCAUGCAACUGAAAUUGUUUGAUGGUUGUGGGCAAGUUCUCAAGAUUGCUUUCAGAUAAAUCUAACUGCUUCAUAGAGGAUAACCCAUGGGGAUCUUUCUGAUUCACUAGUCUGCCUCCAACCGUAGUAAACAAGUUUUUAACGAUUAGAUUUGAACGACCACAAAGACUAAGACACAAAAGAGAUUUCAAUUUAUAAAAGCUGUCAGGAAGGCAAACAAGGUUUUUACAGUUGUUCAUAUUCAAAUGCGUAAGACCAAUAAGAUUGUCAAUUGAGGAUGGUAAUUCCUUCAAAGCCGUUCCACUUAAAUCAAGAUCCUUCAACCACUCCAUGGUGUCCAUGACUUCCGGGAAAAUCUCCAAUCUCGAGCAACCUGUAAGAUAGAAUCUCGAGAGAGAUUUCAAUUUAUAAAAGCUGUUAGGAAGGCAAACAAGAUUUUCACAGUUUUGCAAUGUCAAAUCCUGAAGACCAAUAAGAUUGCCAAUCGAGGAUGGUAAUUCCUUCAAAGCUGUUCCGCUUAAAUCAAGUUCAAACAACCUCUCCAUGGUGUCCAUGAUUUUCGGGAAAAUCUCCAAUCUCGAGCAACCUUUAAGAUAGAAUCUCCCGAGAGAUUUCAAUUUAUAAAAACUGUCAGGAAGGCAAAUAAGGUUUUCACAAUUGUUCAAUCCCAAAUACUUAAGACCAAUAAGAUUGGCAAUUGAGGAUGGUAAUUCCUUCAAAGCCGUUCCGCUUAAAUCAAGUUCAUACAACCUCUCCAUGGUGUCCAUGAUUUCCGGGAAAAUCUCCAAUCUCAAGCAACCUGUAAGAUAGAAUCUCUCGAGAGAUUUCAAUUUACAAAAGCUGUCAGGAAGGCAAACAAGAUUUUUACAGUUGUUCAUAUUCAAACGCGUAAGACCAAUAAGAUUUCCAAUUGAGGAUGGUAAUUCCUUCAAAGCUAUUCCGCUUAAAUCAAGUUCAUACAACCUCUCCCUGGUGUCCAUGAUUUCUGGGAAAAUCUCCAAUCUCGAACAACCUUUAAGAUUGAAUAUCUCAAGAGAUUUCAAUUUAUAAAAGCUGUCACGAAAGCAAACAAGGUUUUUACAGUUGUUCAUAUUGAAACGCGUAAGACCAAUAAGAUUGCCAAUUGAGGAUGGUAAUUCCUUCAAAGCCGUUCCGCUUAAAUCAAGUUCAUACAACCUCUCCAUGGUGUCCAUGAUUUCUGGGAAAAUCUCCAAUCUCGAGCAACCUUUAAGAUAGAAUCUCUCAAGAGAUUUCAAUUUACAAAAGCUGUCAGGAAGGCAAACAAGGUUUUCACAGUCGUUCAAGCUCAAAUACACAAGACCAAUAAGAUUGACAAUUGAGGAUGGUAAUUCCUUCAAAGCCGUUCCGCUUAAAUCAAGUUCAUACAACCUCUCCAUGGUGUCCAUGAUUUCCGGGAAAAUCUCCAAUCUCGAGCAACCAUGAAGACGGAAUGUCGUAAGAGAUUUCAAUUUACAAAAGCUGUCAGGAAGGCAAACAAGGUUUUCACAGUCGUUCAAGCUCAAAUACACAAGACCAAUAAGAUUGGCAAUUGAGGAUGGUAAUUCCUUCAAAGCCGUUCCACUGAAAUCAAGUUCAUACAACCUCUCCAUGGUGUCCAUGAUUUCUGGGAAAAUCUCCAAUCUCAAGCAACCUUUAAGAUAGAAUCUCUCGAGAGAUUUCAAUUUGCAAAAGCUGCCAGGAAGGCAAACAAGGUUUUCACAGUUGUUCAUAUGCAAAUUCUCAAGACCAAUAAGAUUGCCAAUUGAGGAUGGUAAUUCCUUCAAAGCCAUUCCACUUAAAACAAGAUGCCUCAAACUCUCCAUGGUGCCCACGAUUUCUGGAAAACUACACAGAUUUGAGCAGCCUAUAAGAUUAAGCUCGGUAAGGGAUGUGGCUUUGUAAAAGCUAGGCAGAGAUCUAAGAUUUUUACAAGAGUUGACAUUCAAAAGAGUUAGCUUCUCAAGAUGUUGAAGGGAUGAAGGAAGGUCACGCAAGUUAUAACACCAGCGAAGGUUUAUCGUUUCAAGAUUUGGGGCACUUGAGAGGUCCGGGAUUCUUAUAAGGUUCAGGGAUAAGUCGAGUGUGAUAACCUUCAAAUUUACUAAAUCCUGCAUGCAUCAGAAGAUAGUGUUUGAUAAACUUGUGUACAUUGAAGGACAAUAAUGCAACAGAUGUGACCAAAAUAUAAAAAAAGUGCAACGAAACAUUAAACAAUCUUCAAAAUGGUAUAUUUGAGUAGUGGAACCAACAAGUUUGAGCUCCAUUCCAACUCAUCGCUCCAAUUUUGUUUUCCUUUUAAAAUUCAAGGUCAAUUUGACAUAGAGGUUUAAAUUAUGGUGUUCCCUCGGUAGGCUCAUUAUUUUUCUAUAUGCGUUUAAAUUAUAAAUUAAUUAUUAUUUUAUAAUUAUAUUUUAGUUAAAAAAAUUAUUGAAUGUUAUAAAUAAAUUACAUAUUCCAUCCAUUGAUGUAUAUGAGCAAUUAGUACUGUUUACAAAAAUGGAUAUAAUAUUUUAUUUUUGAGAUAAAAGUAAAACUCAAAGUUUUUUACAUAAAAAUAUCCAAAAAAAAAACAAAGUUGAUAUAAACAGUUUGUGUGUGUCGUAAUAUUAUGAAAAAUUAAAUGGAAAGUUAAUUGAUAUUUGAAAUAGUUUAAACAAAAAUAUUAAAUUCAACAAAUAAAUUUGAACAAAAUAAUAAUCUUAAUCAGCAAUUAUUAAACAGAGGGUUUAUUUUUAUCUUUCUCUAUUUCAACAUUUAUUAGUACUAUAUUAUAUAUUACUAUUUUAUAGUUUUUUAUCUUUUGAUUAUGAAAUUGCCAUAUGUUAUUAUAGAAAUAGAAUUUUUUAUCAUUGAGUUUGGUCAACCAAUUAUUCAAUUAUUGAUUUAAGCAGAUAUUAGAAUUUUUUUGUCAUUCAUUAUGCAUAAUUAUUUUCAAAUUAUUAAUCUUUUAUAUUAUGAAAUUUACUAACAAUACUUGUUAUAUCAUUUUAAAUUUUUUUCUUUACUCCAAUAAUGAAAAUCUAAUAAAUUUAAAUUUAAAUAAAUUAAUAAAAAUUAUAGAUUUAAAUUUGAUCAAUUUUAACAUAAAUUAAUAUCAUGUAAACUCUAUUUUUAAUUAUUUAUUAGUUUAACAAAAUUACAUAUAAUAAAAUAUUUCUAGGAGUUUAGUAAUAUCAAGGAUUCUAACUGAAUUCAAUUUUUUUCCCAAGCAUAAACCUAAUAAAUUAAUAUUAUAACUUCUUCUUUUUAUGCAAAAAUAACUUAAAUAUAUGAAAACAUAACAAGAGGGUAGAUUGAAACUUUAUAUAAUCAAGAAAUGGAAAUGGAAUUAGUUCCAAACAUGCUUGCAUCAAUCUACAAAACACCUUACAAAACGAGUCAUAGAUUGACAUCCAAAGAAAAAAGAGUACCUGUUUUCCCUCCCAGAGUUGUUUGACAUUGCUACGUCUCAUAUUAAGUUCAACUAGGUACCUUAGAUCAAACUUGGUGGGCAAAGAUCUCAAAGGGUAUCCCUCCCAGUAAAGGUACCUUAGCUCCUCAGGAAAUGAUAAAAGCCCUUUAAAAAGUAAGAUUCUUCCACAAGAAUGAUAGAAUUUGAGAAAUCUUAGAUUUCGC